This 76340-nucleotide long non-coding RNA is filed under the name Arabidopsis lyrata. Its description in RNAcentral is "long non-coding RNA (ALYR_LNC001099)". Lineage: Eukaryota; Viridiplantae; Streptophyta; Magnoliopsida; Brassicales; Brassicaceae. The record is from RNAcentral.
UUAUUUAAUAGAACAUAUACUUCGCCGACGUUACAGAAAUUUAUUAACGAAAACAACACUUGAUAAUUCUAAAAAACAAACAAACACCACAGCUUCGUUUAAAACAUUUAAUUAGAACGACACAAACAAAUGACACAUAUAGAGAACAUAUCAGGGAACAAAACACAUUUGUUAAUUACCUCCCACGCUUGCAUCUGUUGAAGGUAGUACAAGCCCUGGAAUUAUAUAUCUUACCCUGUUUGAUACAAGCUUCAUACGCAGAAGAAGUACAUAUCGCCGUAUGUUGCAAGGCCCUCGUGGAUAUGUAAUUAUUUCUCCCUGAAAGAGAAUCCCAAAAUUCAUCAGCUCCCCCAUCUUCAUGAACAGUGAGAUUUCCCCAGUCACUUAUCAUCUGCCCUGAGGUUACAACGCCAAGGAGCAAGAGAAGGACGAAGACUAUUGACUUCAUUUCUUCAAUUAUUUGUCUUUUUUUUUUUGUUUUUCUGUGGUGUGAGGAGUGAUGGAUAGGGAAGAUAGAUAUAGUGGUAGUAUGAUUACUUUGGUUGGUCCAUAUUUAAUAUGAACUAAAUGUAUCCCUGAGCAUAUGUAAACAAUUAUAUAACAUGAAAUUUUUAAAAUGUUUUUGUAUUUGGUUAUCAAAACUAUAUUAUUUAAUUAAAAACUAUAUUAAAAUUUUCAAAUCACUUUUUCGAUGAAAACGCCAGCCAACUUCUUUUUUUGUUCAUGGAUUGUUUUUAAAUUUGUUUUUCUAGAUUUCCAAAUAAUAUUUAGAGAAUUACUCGUUCUUUUACCUCUAUUUUGUUGUUUACCAAUAAUUUCCACCGAAUAUUGGCUUUAUUACAUACUGACAUAUACCUUUGUACAAUUUCGUUUUACAACUUUUGUCGUAGCUUUUUUAGGUUUAUUAAACUGUAAAAAUUGAUGAUAUAUUUAGCUGAAGUUGAUGUUUAAGCUAGUGGAAGUAACAGUAGAGUGACUAGAUUCCGUGAAGUAAAAAUCCCACUACCGACGAUGCAAAGUUAGUGGCAGUAACAGUAGAGGCCUUAUCCACUACUGCAUGUUUUGCGAUAGUACAACGUAAUGCCUAAUGAAUGAUUAAAAUCAGGGCCUGAAUAUCCAAGGCCCAUUAUAUAGUCAGUUUUGAUUGAGUCGCAAUUGGACUUCACCGCCAUGUUCGUUUGGCAGUCGUUAGCGACCAACGACUAUUCGUUUGACAGUCGUUAGAUCCAGCGACCAAUCACAGUAACUGGUCGCAUCAAUCAGCGAUACAAAUUUUUAGUCGCUAAAUUUUUCAGCGAUUGGUCGCCAGGACCAACGACUGCGAAACGAACAACAUAGCGACUACAAAAUAAUAUAAAUAAAAAUAAUUUAAUUUAAAAUAAAAUAAAGCAAACCAAAAUACAAUAAAAAUAAAUAAAAUAAACUUGGUUUUAAUUACAUUGGUUUGAAUUAGCUUAAAUUAAACUAAAACUAGAUUAAAUUAAAUUUAAUAAAACAAAACUAAUUUAAAAUUUUAUAAUUUAAUUUAAAAUAAAUGAAUUGUUUAAUUAAAAAUUAAAAUAUAUAUAAUUAGUUUUUUAAGAAUGUAUAGUAUUUAACUUAAGUUUUAAUGAAUUAAAAUUUUCAAAAAAUAAUAAAAAAAAAUUUUAAAAAUCAAAUAUAUAUAUAUUGCGACUACCAAACGAACAAUACAUCGACAUCUGUCAAACAAACAACAAAAGCAAUCGCUAGUCGCAGUCGUAGUCGCUAAACGAACAUGCCAACAUCAAAAACAACAAAAUCAUUUUAAUUACCAGAUGAGUUCUUUCCACGGUAUAGUCCAUUAUUCAACAUUAAACUAUAUUUGCCAAUAAAUUUAGAGUACUAUAAAUAUUAUUUUAUUAGUUAUUUCCAAAGCCUAAAGGUACCCCAACUCUAGACAGCAUGAAACUAUUUUUCUCAAAAUUGUAACUAUUUCUACUUUCCAAUGUAUAUAUAAUACUACUUUUUCUAAUUAUUAAAAAAAGCAGUAACUAGUAUUCUAUCAUUAAUAUUUGAAAAAAAAAAAACAUUUUCCUAUCAAGAACAAAGAUGUGUAUUUUACUAAAAUAACUGAUUACGUAGGCUAAUGGUUUAAUCAUAUACAAAAUAAAAUCGACUUAACAUUAAAGAUUAUUAUUAUUUUUUUGUUUUUUUUUUGUCAACCACACAUUCAUUAAAGAUUAUUCAUUAAAGAUUAUUAUUUAGAAGUUGAAAUUUUCAGACAUUUUAACCAUUUUCCAUAUUUGAUCAAACAAAUAUAUAGCCUUAUGAACAUGAAACGUAAAAAAACUAAAGAGACAUCAUUUAAUUGCAAACAUGAAACAUGAUUUAGUCAUUGGCGUGUUAGGAUUUGAUUUCCAAAUCCGGCCCUUCUAAAAUGAAUUAAGUAAACAAUAAAUUUACAUAAUUUAUAAAGGGCUCACUUUCAAUGUGGGAGAUCAUUUGAAAGAUAUACGUACCUUUUUUUCUCCUUUUUCGCUCCUAAGCAAUAAAAGAUGAUCACAACAGCUUAAUUAAUAAAGUUGAACAACAUAUUAUCAGAAUGUUAGAUUACAACAUAUUUGUCAUAGGUUCCACCCAUAUUUUCAGUCUUUUUCCAAUUCCACUUAAACAACUUAUAUUUUUUCCAAUUCUACCCAAUUUUAUAUAAUUCCUCCUAAUUAACCAAAAUCAAUUAUUCUCCCUAAUUGCGUUUUAAAAUCAUUAAAUCGUGAAAAUUAGAUUUUGUUUUGAGGAAAGCUAAUCUUUUGUGGCAAUCAGUGGGUUUUGUUUCGGAUUGCUAGAUAUUGGUCGGGUCAAUGUCUUCAACUUUCGGGUUACAAAUUUUGGUACAGUAAUCGCGAUUUAUCAAUUUAAAACACAAUUAAGGAAAAUAAUUGAUUUUGGUUAAUUGAAAAGAAUUAUAUAAGAUUAGGUGGAAUUGGAAAAAAUAUAAGUUGUUCUGAUGAAAUUGGAAAUAGACUGAAAGUAUGGAUAAAAUCUAGUUGAAACGCUAUAUUACAGGGGACAGAGACAUGCAACCCUAGUUUUUUAGCCCCAUCACCACAAAUUUUGUAGAGAUAUUAGUAAUUUCGCUAUCUUAUUAUCUUGAAUCGUGGUGGUGCUCAUAUAAGCAAGCCAUGAGCCAACGCAAACGGUUCUUUUGAUCAUAACGAAUGACUUCUCCAUUUCAAUUUUUUUUUUUUUGAAAGUCUUCUAAAAUAGAAACUUAAGUUGCGUUAGUCGAUUAAUGUUUACGUCAUAUAUGAUGGUAAAUGUUGACAUAUGAUUGAUCUAACCUAUCACAUUCACAAUCUCAACGGUUUCAAUCUAUGCAUUAAUGAUCUGAGAUUGACAUGCCUACUAUGUUUAGAGUAUAAUUGUGAUCGAUAACAUGUGAUAUUCGACUUGAGUUGCAUCAAAUAUAAUUUGAUAUAUCUUGUCAAAUUGUUGUAAAAUAUAUACGUGCAUUUUUCUGUAAUUAUAACUUAUCGUUUUUAAUAGGUUUGCUACUUGAAUAAAUUCGACUAAAAUAUAAUAAUAAUGACAAUGUUAACUCCCAGGAAUAUAAUUUACCCAGGUCAUAAAAUAGACUAAUAAUAGAAAAAAUAAUUUUUUUUCAUAACCAACAAAAAAAAUAUACUAAAUCCUAAAAUAUAUGUAGUGAUUUUCGAGACUAAGAGAAGAAUAUACAGAAACAUAAAACAAAAACGUACCAAAACAGUCGUUGGAGGAUUCGAACGUGGGUUCAAGAGGUACCAUACCUCAGGAACUUACCAAAUAUGCUAGAUGUACUUUAUGUCUUUAUAUGCAUUCAAACUUUUUUAAUAUUUUGACCAGGUCAUGUGACCUCCUUAGUUCCUUAGUGGGUCCGCCCCUGCGUACACCUAUAUCUAAAUUACUACUAAUAUUUAUUUCCUAGUUAAUUUGCUAUUUGUUUUCCAAGAAUAGGUUUCGUUAUUUAUGAAUAUAUUUAUUUUCUAAUUUCAAGUUUGCAUUCUUCAAGCUCAAUCUCUCUGAAUGGACUCUGGAACUGUUGGCAAUUUAAUUUGGAGUGAUAAUCUAGAAUACUUACCUACGAAUUGUGGAGUUUCUUGAAUUUAUUGAUGACGCUAUUACUACUUUACAACAUGUUUAGUUGAUGCAGGUCAAUGUUAUGUAUAUGUAGGUUAUGAGGAGAGGGUGCAGCUGCCCCUGGUGGACUCUACUAUCGAUCGUUGACACUUGACACCCUCGUGAAAAGUCUUAGCUCCCAAUGUUUUUGCUCGGUGUCAUGUUUUUUUUAAUGGGUUUGAUUGGUAAUCAUGUACCAAUGUGGUAUACUAUUUUGAUUAUUACCAGUCACAAAAAUGUUACUAAAAAAGAUGUUAAAAACCAUGCUUUUAGUUUUGUUUGUAUCAUAAUCUCAUACCGUUAUUUUGUAUCGUUUUUAACUAUUUUUGUAUCAUUUAUCAUUUUUUUAUCCGUUAAAAAAUGUUUCCGUUUUAUGUUACCAGUCGGAUCCACUAAUUUUAGAAGUUAAUUAUUUUUCAACUUGGAAAGUCCCAUUUUGUAGAAAAACAAUAUUUCUCUCAUAAUUGUAUGAUAUAAUUUCCAUUAAUUAAUUGAUUUUAAUAUAGUUUUAUCUACAUUUUCCCAAAAAUUUUGCAUUUACAUCAUCGACUUUCAUGCCUCGGCUUUCAUGCUAUCGAUUCUAAAUGGACUCACGCCUCUGACUCUUGCCCAUUUUACACCAUUUGUGUCUUCUUCUUACUUUUUUCCCUACAGAAUUGACUUCACAAAAAUCACCCACAUGGACCCAAUCACAUCUAAGAGGAAGAUUCUUACACAACAUGUGAGUGAAAGAAUGCAGCAGCCAGCAGCCCACACAUCAUGGAAAGUCUAUUUAAUUAAGGUUUUUCCAUACGUUUACAAAAAUAAACAAAAUUCCAUGGUUCUUUAGCUAUAUACAUUACUGCUAAAAUACAUGAACAAAUAAGAAAAAUUCGUAAGUAUAAAUAAAAUUUUACCUUUAUAAAACAUAAUAUAUUACUAAACCUACGCAACGCGUGAGCCAUUUUCUAGUAAAACAUAAAUAGAACAUGUUUUUCUAUUUCCAAAUCUUUUUCCGUCUCGUUUCCAAAAAAUCUGUCCCGAAUUUUCGUUUGUCCACCCCUAAUCAAUCGUAUCAAUAAACUCGAACAAAUUUUAAGUUGACUUUACGUAUGUAUGCUAUUGCGCAUUCAUUUUGUGGGUAUGUAAUAGUAUAUGUCUUCUAGCGAGUUAAUGUAAACAUUCUUCUGUAGGAAUAUAUUUGUUAGAACAUACACGUGAACUUUCUUUGUUAGUUCUAAAGAAACAGUUUUGAAUUUUAUCUAUUAUCAUCAUACCUUCGAUGAAAUGGUUAUUUCGAAUGGCGCCCAUGUGCCCGUCUUCCGAAGUACUUUAUUAAACUCUUUUCGUGAAACAAUCAUAUAUUAUUAUUUAGGAAAUCAUACAUAUAAAAUUAGGGUUUCACUCUCCCAUAAUUGGUCCAUUUGGCAAUUCACUUUUUCAAAAAAAAUUAUAAUAAUAUUUAUAUCUUCCUAAACCACAAAUACAACACAUUUAUUCAUAUACAUUAAUAUACCAUUUAAUACCAAAUUGUAACCAUCAUACAAAUUGUGUAUUAAUUGUAUAUUUCCCCACUCAAUGUCAUUCAAACACACUAUAAAUUCAAAUUGUAACUCCUAUAAUUUUAUUACUAUUAAAAUGUAACUUCCAUCACUUUCUAUACUAUAAAUAAUCAUUCUCACAUCUUCUUCCACCAUAUCUCAAAUCCUAAAUAUUUUCUUUGUUUUUGUGUUGUUGCAUGAGUUGAAAAAUCAAUUGAAACAUCAUUGUAAAGGUUUGAUUAUAAAUUUUGUUUUUAGAGACUAUAUGGUAUAUAUUUUACAUUGUUUUCAAUUAUAUUUUUAUUCUCAUGUCUUACUUGAAUAUACUUAUUCUUUCUUUAAUUUUCAUAUUUUUAGUUCAAAACUACAAAUGUAUAAUAAUAAAUUUGAUGGCUAUAAUUUCUGAUUUUAAUUCAAAAUUACAUACUUUGAAGAUUUAACAAUGAAGUUUUCAAAUAUCAAAUCAACCAUUGCACAAGAAGAAAAUCAAGUUGAGAAGAUCCAUCUCUAUUUUCUACAAUAAAUAAAUUAUUGUAAUAUCAAAUAAUAUUUUUGCUAAAUUUCUUACAUACUUCUUUCUUAUCUCAAAUAAUGUUUUUUUUUUUUUUUUUUUUUUUUUUUUUUUUUGGGCGAAAUCUCAAAUAAUGUUUUGUAUUAUUUUUAAUAUACUCAUCAGAUUAAUUUUUGUGAUCCAAUCAAUAAUUAUAUAAAAAUCAUUAACUAAAAUGUUUAUUCUCUUCAAAGCUUGUGGUUUAAGUUAAUUUCUAAAAUAAAAGAAUUUAUUUACAAAAUUUUAUAAUCCAACCUAGCAAUUUAAAUCAUAUAAAUAUUUAAAUUGAGUUGAAUAUAAAAUAUAUUUGACAUAAAUAUCUUAUUGUUGUAUAAUUAAAAUAAAUAAUAGUCUAACAACAUUUUCUGUAUAUCUAGAAAAUACAUUAUAUGACUUUCACUCUCUGCUUUUUUAAUAUUUUCAAAUAUUUAAUAUUAUGAUAUAAUACUAUCUAUUAUUAACUCACAUUUAACUUUAUACGUAAUUUGCAUACAAAAUAAUUAUAAGAACAUCAAAACCCCACUAAAAUACAUUUAUUACUUGACUAAAAUCAUUGACCAUAAUUUUUAGUUUGAAUGGUUUUCCUACUAAUUUUAAAAAAAAAAACUGUAACUCCCUAAAUGUAUUUAUUUUCUAAAAAUAACUUUCAACACUCAUCAUCCUACAAAUAAUCUUUCCUUCAUUUUCCUCCACCAACAUCUCAAAAUUUUAAUAUAUGAAUAAUGAUCUAACAUAUAUAUAUUAUUUAUUUAUUCAAGGUUUGUGGUUAAUAAUAUCAUUAUUAUUUUAAUUUGAAUUAAAAUGGUUUAAUAAUCUUAACUAGUAGUAAAAAAUUUAUAAAGGUGAAAUAUCUAAAAAAAUUUUUAUCAAUAUAACUUGAAUUGCGUGAGAUAAUGAGAAAGAAAGAAAAUAGUCUAAAACUAUUCUCCAAAUAUUAUAUAUAUAUAUAUAUAGUUUUUACUCAAAAAUUAUUUAACUUUUUAUUAUUGUAAAUCAAUCAAACGAGUUUUACAUGAACAAACGAACAAAAAGUUUAAAUACCAUAUUAAUAUAUAUAUAUAUAUAUGUAAUUUUAUUCCUAUUUAUAAUUAAAUUUAGUCCAAUCAUUUGAUUGUUUACACUACUAUUAAAAUCUAUACAAAAACAACAAUAAGUCACAAUGGGAGCUGCCAACCUCCGUAGAAGCCUAUCUCCGCUACAUGCCGAAUUCGAGGCCCUCCUUUGGGCGAUGAAGUGUAUGAUUGGUGCAGAUAAUCAAGAGGUAGCAUUCCUUACAGACUGUUCUGACCUGGUGAAGAUGGUGUCUUCCCCAACCGAAUGGCCGGCCUUCUCAGUGUAUCUGGAGGAAUUUCAGAGCGACAAGGAAGAGUUCUCUACCUUCUCUUUAUCUUUAAUUUCUCGUUGUGCAAAUGCAAAAGCGGAUAAUCUGGCACGAAAAAUUCGUACGGAACCGCUUCAUAUCACUUAUGUAAACAACAUUCCACAAGAAUGGCUCUUUUGAGUAAUAUUUAAUUACAGAUGACAAAAAAAAAAAAAAACAACAAUAAGUCACGCGUAGCGUGGCUACAUAUACCUAGUACAUAAUAGAAAUAACAUCGAUUUUUGUAAGUUAUAAUAUUAAAAUACUAUUAAAGAUAAAAAAAAUUUAGACUAAAUUAAUUCAUCGUAUUAAAGAUAAACAAGUGAAAUAUAAAUUUUGUAAUUUAAAUUAAAUUUAGAAACGAAAAUUUAUACAUUUAUUUUUUUAAAUGUAUAAUUUUAUAUAUUGCGAUGCCCAUCUCCUCUAUUUUGGAGACAUACAUCGGAGCAAAAUAAUUCUAAAAUAGAAUUGCUUCUAAAAAAAAAAAAUAGAAGUGGACAUUAAAGAUGGUAUAAGACCUCCAACUGACACGAUCUUUCACGCACUUUGGAAUGCCUUUGCAUCCAAAAGUGCAUCUCUUCGUCCAUUUUCAAGCUCCAUUCAAAUGAGGUGUUCUCAAAAACAAAAAUAAACAAAAACAAACGAAAAAAAUGCAAAACAACCUUGGACUCCAAAUCCAUUAAGACUCACUAAUACUCGAAGUACAAAAUAACACAAAUAUAAAAAGAAAAAAAAAUCACCAAGAAAAUGGUGAAAUCAAGAGAGUCAAAGUGGUAAAAUCUAUGAAUAUCAAAUAUGAGUGAUUAUAUCAUGUCCUAUUAUGUUCUAGUAAGAGUAAAAGAUCCCGCCGAGAAUCCGUCUGGACCCAAAGCAAUCAAAUUUGGUUCUUUUUAGACACUAUUUUUUUUUAAGUAAAUAACUGAAAAUACAAAUCGUGAUCAAAGUUAUCACUUUAUCACAGCGAUAAUUGAAGUACAUGAUACCUAAAUAUUAAUUUCUACCAAACUCUACUAUAAUAACAAAUUAUUUAUUUAUAACAAAACCCAUCACGAUUCAAUUAUAAAGCACAAACUUUAAUAUGAAAUGAACAGAGGAAUCUUCCUCAUCCAACUAACUACCGAACAACUUAUUCAUGUCAAAGAUCUUGAGAAAUUAACUUUAAAUUCUACUAUUUCUACUUCCUACUUUUUCACCUUUUUAGUAUUAAAAUAUGCAAUAUUAUUUAAUUACAACCUUUUAAUAUUUUUAAAAAUUCACCUAAAAAAGUAAAACUUGAAUCUAGUUAUUUUUAAGUUAAUGGAUCAAACUUGUUGGACCCCACACUUCACUUGAUCUGCAGUUUUUUUUGGGUAUGAAAUUGUAUAUGCUAAUCUAAAACGUAAGAAGAUAUACAAGAUAAAUCAUUUUAAAUUUAUGUUCUUUAUAAUUAGUUGAAAAUGAACUCAACCGUUAUCACCUUUUUUACGGAAUUGUAUUUAAUACUCCCUCCGUUUCAUAAAGAGUGUCGUUUUAAGGUUUUAUUUUUGUUUUACAAAGAAUGUCGUUUUAGGUUUUCAAUGCAAAAUUUAAUGAUUUUUUAUGUUUUAUGACUAUUAGUACUCUGCAGAUUAUUUUACUAUUGGGCAGAUUAUGUUUAGGUAUAUAGUUAAUGAUGUUUUUGUUUAGAAAAAACAAAAAAUUUAAUGUUUUCUUAAUUUGUGUGCAAAACUCUAAAAUGACACUCUUUGUGAAACAGAGGGAGUACAUAUUACCAAUUUGUAGAAAAAUAGUACUAAAAAACUCUUAUUAUCAUUUGGAAACAUAUGUGGAAUUUUUUUUGUCUAGUAGUUAUCAAAAGAUUUAAUGGUUCUACACCAGAUUCGAAUCCCGUGUAUUAUCGCAUUUCUAAUUUAGUCUUCUAUUAGUAUUUCUACAAUGUAUGAUCAAUGAUUUCGUUGUAAAACCUUGUGGUUUGUUGGAUUAGAUGAGUUAUGUUGACUGACACUCGACAUUUGGUUGUAAUAUCUGUUUUUUUAAUUUCGUUUAUGACAAGUUUAUAGUUUAGGACCUUCAGGUUAAGCUUUUUUUUUUUUUUUUGUAACAUUUCAUAGUUCAUUUUAAAUAACAUUAGGUGAAUAUCUACAAUAGGCCGCACUCUUUAAAAAAAAAAAUCAAUAAAUUAGGAAAUAAAUACAAUUAUAUUCAAAUAGAUUAUUUGUCAAGACUUCCUACGAUAAUGAGAUAUUCAAGAUCGAGACUCUGUUUAUUAUUCAAAAAAGAAGAACAGAAAGACAAUAUUUGAGUAUCAAGAGCCAAUAGAAAACCAUACAUUGAUUUGGAUUGUUUUAAACUCCAUAUCUCCCUCAAAACUAAAAGGCAUAUAACAAACCAAAUAGUCAAAGACCCCUAAUUUGUAUUCCUAAUCCUUUAACUAUAGUCUAUUUGUAGAAUUUGCCAACUGUUUCCCUGUUUGAAUCCAACGCUUACUCUGACUGAUUAUGACGUUAAAUCUUGAAAGCUCUACAUUUAACAUCUCCAAGAAAAUUAUGAUGUGGCAGACACCUUCUUCCUCCUGUAUAUAUUUUGUCAUUUGGGUAACUUAUUUUCUCUGCAUUGAUUGGCGAAGACAGAUUUAAAGUCCUGCUUCAUCAUCAUAUUUUCUCUUUAACUUGCUCCUCCUUGUCCUAUGCCUCUCCCUCUCACCCUAAACAAAACAGAUGAGAUGUGAAAACACAUUUAAACCUCUUGGUUUGCCAUCCAACUCUAAAACUUGAUGGUAACAUAUAUCUAUAUCCUUUUCCUAAGAGUUAGUUAUAACUUUUAAUAUGAUAUAACGUUUAGUUAUGUUAUAUAUAUAACAAAAAAAAAAGACGACCGAACCUGAUAUCGUUCAAUUGCUCAGUUCCGUUGAUUGUGACCGGUGCGACGAACGGAACCGAACAAUGGAAGAACCCUUUUGUGAUGGUGAUUGGGUCGAUAGAUCAUUCCUAUAUAUUAAAAAAAAAAUUUUGUUUAAUUAAAAUCAAAAUUUACCCUCGAGAAUUCACACAUGCAUAUCACCGUGGUUUAAUAUAUGUCUUGACAGAUCACAUUAUUAUUACAAACGACUAACAAUAAUUCAUCAUCAAAAAUAUAUUAUUCUUUGAAAUAACUCUUUGGUCACCAUCAUGCAUAUUUUCAUACUAGGAGACAACAAAAGUGACAAAUAUGUCAUGUUUUCCCAAAUACUAUCAGAACUCUUAGAAUAAGAAAUAUACUCAGAGUUGGUGUAAUUCUUUAUUAUUUUUUCACUGGUUAGUUCAUUAUCUAUCUCCUCUCUGCUCCCUCUAUCUCUCUAAGCAUGCUACACUUGGGACUUAACUUAGCUUUCUAUAUAAACACUUGCAAACACAUCCUCCUAGUGUCAACCACAUUCCAUAGCCAUCUCUCUCUCCCUCUCUCACUCACUCUCUCUUUCUCUCUGGUUUGUUUCAAAACAGAGUACAAAACAGAGAAAACAAGAGAAGAAAACAGAUUGAUCUGUUUUUAAAACAGAGCAGAUAACAGAGUGAGAUGGGAACAAUGAUGGUGAUGAUGGGUCUUCUCUUUAUCAUUGUCUCGCUCUGUUCCGCUCUUCUUCGAUGGAAUCAGAUGCGAUAUACCAAGAAUGGUCUCCCUCCUGGAACCAUGGGCUGGCCAAUCUUUGGUGAAACCACCGAGUUUUUCAAACACGGCCCCAACUUCAUGAGAAACCAAAGACUCCGGUAAGAAUAAACUCAAACAAUCAAAUCAAGAUUUUGUUUUCCUCUACCAAACCAACUAACUUGGGAUCAACAGAUAUGGGAAUUUUUUCAAAUCUCAUCUUCUUGGUUGUCCAACGUUAGUCUCGAUGGACUCAGAAGUAAACAGAUACAUUUUAAAGAACGAAUCAAAAGGUUUGGUUCCUGGUUACCCACAAUCCAUGCUUGAUAUUCUCGGAACUUGCAACAUGGCUGCGGUUCACGGUUCGAGCCACCGGCUUAUGAGAGGUUCACUUCUCUCUCUUAUAAGCUCGACCAUGAUGAGAGAUCAUAUCUUGCCUAAAGUUGAUCACUUCAUGAGAAGCUAUCUUGGUCAGUGGAAUGAGCUUGAGGUUAUUGAUAUCCAGGAUAAGACCAAACAUGUAUGUUUUUACCUUUAUCUUUUUCCUUCUCUGUUUUUACUUUUUUACCUUCUCUGCUUCUUCAGUCUAUGCCUUACAAGAGGAUGUACUGUUUUACUAUGUCAGAUAAAUUCUUUCAAAAAUAAAUCAAGUAGUUGUAGUUUAGUGGUUGAGGAUUGAUUAUUUCGAAAUUUUCUGUUUUUUAAGUAAGUGAUGUUUUGGUAUAAUAAAUUUUACAGUUACAUUAUUAAUUGAUUCCCACCGAUAUGGUUACAGUUUUUGAUAGAGACUGAUAAACAAACUUAUAAUCUUAUAUAUUUUUUUUUUUGUUAAAGCACUUAUAAUCUUAUAUGGAUGGGUGUAAUAGUAAAUAACUGAGAAUGUUUGUCUUCGCUUAAAUUCAAGAAUACUUGUCAGACUUUUUUUGUUUAUUUAUGUAUAUUUUGUGUAUUUUUAAAUAUUUUUUUCUUGAGUGGGUUUCAUGCAGAUGGCAUUUUUAUCUUCACUGACACAAAUCGCUGGGAAUUUAAGAAAACCAUUCAUUGAGGAAUUCAAAACUGCGUUCUUCAAGCUUGUUGUUGGAACUUUAUCGGUUCCGAUCGAUCUUCCCGGCACAAAUUAUCGUUGCGGGAUCCAAGUAAAAUACUUGAUCUUCACUAAGAAAAAUUUUAAAAGUAAAAAAUUUGACACAAACUGAAUUUUUUUCGGUUGCUUUUCAGGCAAGAAAGAACAUUGAUCGGUUUCUAAGAGAGCUGAUGCAAGAACGUAGAGAUUCUGGAGAAACAUUCACAGACAUGUUAGGUUACUUGAUGAAGAAGGAAGAUAACCGAUACCCAUUAACCGAUGAAGAGAUAAGAGACCAAGUCGUGACGAUUUUGUAUUCGGGUUACGAAACUGUCUCUACGACCUCAAUGAUGGCUCUUAAGUACCUUCAUGAUCACCCAAAAGCUCUUCUAGAACUCAGAGUAUGUCUCUAAGAAAAUAGCAUAACGGUUUUUCGAUUGUCUGGUUUAAUCCGGUUCGGUUAUUUGAUUCCGGAUUGUUUUGGAAAAUGCAGACAGAGCAUUUGGCUUUAAGGGAAAGUAAACGACCAGACGAACCACUUGGUCUUGAGGAUGUAAAGUCAAUGAAGUUCACUAGAGCUGUGAGUAACAUUAAUGUUAUACUAACAAUAACUAAGCAUUAGUUGUUAGUUGUUAGCGAUUAAUUAAUCAUUACUAAUUAUUUAUUACAGGUUAUUUUUGAGACAUCAAGAUUGGCAACGAUCGUUAAUGGGGUCCUAAGGAAAACUACUCGUGACUUAGAAAUCAAUGGUACGCAUAUAUAUAGUUUUAUUACAAAUCCUUUGUCGGGUUGAUUAUAAAUUUAUAGUUUUAAAUUUAGGAAAAAUAAAGAGAGAAAUAAUGUGAGCAUGUGGUGGACCUUAGUAUAGAUCAAUGAUUUAGAAUGUAUUAUGAAUACCAACCAAAUCCAGCUAUGAAAGCAUCCUCUUUUGAGUGAGCCAUCUUUGGGUAUUUGAGCUCCAAUAAUUUUGACAGAAUAUAAACCUUUUUUGUGUGUUCUUUAAUUGAUUUUAGUAUUCUGAUCUAGUGAUCAUGAAUCUUUAAUAAUUGCAGGUUAUUUAAUCCCAAAAGGAUGGAGAAUUUAUGUAUACACGAGGGAAAUUAAUUACGAUGCAAAUCUAUAUGAAAACCCAUUGAUCUUUAAUCCAUGGAGAUGGAUGGUAAGUAUUGUACUUCAUAUAUUUAAUAUGAAACGUCGUUUUAGAGUUUUAUUUUUGUUUGAAUGUCGUUUUGAAUUAUCAAUGCUAUUUAAGCCAAAUUUAUGAUUAUAUCACUACUUAUAAAACUUAUUGUAACUAGAAAGAUAAUUUUAUAGUCUUAGUCAGACAAAAUGAUCUUGUACUAAUGAAGAGUAAAAUUUACAUUUUAACAUCUUUUACAUAUAUGUAGAUUUUUGUAAACGAGACUUAAUUUAAAACGGAAAGACUAUUGUGUCGUCCUCGUUUCCUUUGGUUCUUUCAGUGAACACUUAUGAUUUAAAAUGAGGGUUUUAUUAAUGCAGAAGAAGAGCUUGGAGUCACAAAACUCAUGCUUUGUGUUUGGAGGUGGGACAAGGCUUUGUCCUGGUAAGGAACUAGGGAUUGUCGAGAUCUCGAGCUUCCUCCAUUACUUUGUUACGAGAUACAGGUGUGUUCUUGGUGAUGAUCUAAUGUAUUUGUUUUGUUUGAAGUUAUUGUUGUUUGAUAUGAGAAGUUUUUGUUAAUACUAAUUCCUUUGUGAUGAAUCAAUUAUAAUGGCAGAUGGGAGGAAAUAGGAGGGGAUGAAUUAAUGGUGUUUCCAAGAGUUUUUGCACCAAAAGGCUUCCAUCUUAGGAUUUCACCCUACUAAUUUUAACUUUUUAAAAUGAAUAAAUAAAAAUUUAGAAAAUAAUAUAGAUUUUAUGCACAAAGGUUACAGAAGACGUAUAUGAAGCAACAAAAGAAGAUAAUUAUAUAUAUUUUUCUUUCUUUUUGACCCAUAUUUUUGUUCUCAUUUAAGAGUCUUCUGGUCAUAUGUACAUAACCAUAAGCAGUUUUAUUAUAUCUAUUUCUCUGUAACUCUAUUUGAACUUGAAGUAUAUCUCUGGCUAAUUCUUGAUGAUGUUCUAUAUCAAAUCUAAAUAACUUCUCCAUCCAAACAUAUGUAGCUGACUUAGUUAAACCUGGCGAAGCCCAUGGGCCAGCAAUAAUGCAUAGACUUUUUUUUGUGGUACCAAUCAAUUUUAUCUGAUAUUUUGAAUUAAACUUAAAGAGUAACAAAGGUUCAAGCAAGAAAUCAAGCUAAGAAGUGCAAAGGCCAAAACAAAAGCGAAUAGGGGAAACACAACGAAAACGUUACACAUUGCUAACAUUUCCUUGUCAAAGAGGUCAUUUAGCCAUCAGAGAUGACCUUAUGUUUAAUGAGCUAGGGUUGAACUUAGAAAUAACUAUAAGUAUGCGGUCAUAGUUAUGUGAUUUACAAAGGAUUUUGGCUGGAACCAAAAUGAUUCGAAAUUUAAGAUGCAGUCCUAAAGGAUAUGUGAACUCUCAAAUUUCCUGAUUGAUAUUUCGUUAAAUUAAACAAUUUUGUUAUAAAAUUAAGAUUUUCUGUUGAAAUUAAAAUAAAUAAAUAAAUAAAUAAAAACAAAAGUGAAAUGAGAUAUUUUCUCCAUCUGGAGUGUUACAUCAUCACCAAUUUUUUUUUUCUUGUUUGCUUCCUAAUUAUAAUAGUUUCUUUAAAAUUUAAAUUACUAAUAGUUGAGUUUAAGUAUGGUCAAAUAUACAUGUCAUUAUUAAAUUUUUUUUUUUUUGGCUUCCUAACAAUCAUUUGAAUUUUAUUUAAAAUUUAUAUGACUAUAUAGUUGAGUUUUUUUUAAUGUAAUUUUAAAUUAUAUUCAAAAGAAAAAAAAACGUAUUUACAUCAAUUGCAACAUUUGGUAGAAAGAGUUGUAAAACAAAUUAUUAUAGGUGAGUUUUAAGUGUGGUCAAAUAUACAUUUUACUAUAUAAAAUUAGUUUUUAUUUAAUUGGUGAAAUAAAAAUGAGCAACUCAUAUCCCAUAUUAAAAUAAAGCAUAUACAUUUCAAAUACGAAGGCGGUCUUCAACUAUGGUUUGGAUCAAGACAAGCUCAAGAUUAAUCUCUUUAUGCGAGAAACUGUUUUAUGAAAAGUAUAUGCAUUAAGUUGUAAAACAUGUUUUCUUUCUCUUUUUGAAUAUAAUUUAACAUCUAUUCAAAAAAAAAAUGAAGAUUAUAUAUAUAUAUAUAUAUAUAUAUAUAUAUAUAUAUAUAUAUACUUGAAAAUCCAAAAAUGCGACACUAGGAGUUUGAAAUGGUUAUACAAAAGUUUAAAAUCGUGUUCUCUCAAGUCUCACAGCACCCCACAUUUAUUAUGGUUGUAAUAUUUCAGUUCAUAAUGCAUUUGAAGUUUGAAAUGGCAUUGUUUGCUACUUUGCUUAAUGAUUCUAUUUUCUCAACUUGUCAUGAGUUUAUACGUGCUUGUUUCAAUGAUAUUUCAAUUGCACGUGCUAGCUGUUGAGUUGACUCGAACAAUUGUCAAUGUUAAUUUGUUCGUUUAAUUUUAGUAACAUGCCACGAUUGUAUAAAUCCAUGUCCAAAAUUGGAAUAGAUAAGGCUUAUCAUCGAUAUGGAGAGACAGCAGCUUGAGCAGCAGACAAGUGAGAUUCAAACGGUGUUUUUUUUUCUUCUUUUAGAUUCAAACCCUAUCGUGAUCCGGUCAGCCAAUAUGGUAUUUAAGCCUUGAAUCUGGUUAACAUUGACGGCUGCCACAUUAAACCCGACUGCAUUAGUUACGGUUCUUGGCCUAUUUAGCCCAGUGAAAAAGAAGUCAUACGCGGUUGCGAGCUUUGGGUCCUUGCAGAACUUUUCAUUCACAAAAACUGAACAUAUAUAAUAACAAAAAUGAUAAGAGAAUAUUAUAAGGUAUUGAAAUAUCAGUGAAAAAUGAGUGUAUGAAACUAUUACGAAAUCAACAUGAACAUACCGCCAUUUGCUGGGGUGUUGACACAGAUACAGAAAUAUUGAAGGGGGCUUGGAUCAGAAGCAUCGGCUGAUGAAAGUGCUAAAGCCAAGAAAGAUAGAAUUGCAAGAAAUGAGAAACUUUUUUAAUAGCCAUAUUCAAAGUGAUUCUUAGAAGAAGAUAAUGCUGAAAUAGUCCAUACAAAUGUAUAUACACCUGUAAAUCCAAGAAAUUCUAAAAUGUAUACUCUAAAAGUCUGAAAUAGUACUUAUGAAUUUUUUUAAAAAUCGUGUUCCCUCAACGCACCAUGUUUAUAGUGGUAAUAUUUCAAUCUAAAUACAAUAAGAAAUUGUUAGCGAAGUUUUAAUUUCAAAUGCAAGUUGACGUUUGAAAUAGAAAGUGUUGACAAGUUACACAAAAUGCAUUUGUUUGAUGAUUAUAUAUUCUCAACUUGUCAUGAAUUUAUAUGUGCUCAUUUUGACAAUAUUUCAUUUGCACAUGCAGCUGAGUUGACUCAACCAAAUGUCAAUAUGAAACUGUUACUUGAGUUUGAUUGUUUCUUUAAGUGAGUAGGCACGACUAUAUUAACUUACAUGUAUGCAUGUAAAUAAAAAGUGAUGUUAAAAAUUUAAAGAGAUAAUUAAUGCCUCUAAUGUUAUUACGUAAUCUUAACCUUGUCACAUAAAUUUCAACCCAUACCGAUUGUGAAUCGCUCAUCAUAGUUUUUAUAUCUUUCCAAAUGAGUUUAGUACUUAUAAUUUCAAAAACAAGAGAAAGUUACGUUCAUAACUUUCUUGGCAGAGUAUAUUAAACCUGCUAAAAGCCAUAUAUAUUCUUGUAACAAAACUUUUCAUACUAAAUGAGUUUUCACAUCCAUAUCUAAGAGAAAAAAAAAAAAAAGAAAAGAAAAAUGAGUACAGAAUUUUAAGUUUUUUCACAACUUCUAACAAAGGAAAGUACAUGUAUAUUCAGCAUCUGAACUAGAGUUCUCGUAUAGAUUCUUGGGUGGCCAUUUGCUUGCUUCUCUAUUAUCUCGUGUAUAAUUGUACAUAUUGUGAAAGGAAACUCUUGUCACUAAAGAAAAUAUUUAUCGUGAAUUCCGAAAUAUUGACGUGCAAACCAUUUAUCCAUUACUUAGAAAGGAAAUGCAUUUUUUUUUAUUUAGAAUCGAAUCAAGGUAAAAGCAAAAAAAGACAUCAUGUCAAAAUACAAUAAACGGAAAUACAAGAUCCUUAUUCAGGCACAAGUACGUAAAGGGAAAUCAGUUACGAUAUUAUUAUUUCUUGAACUUGUUUUGCAGAUCCACGACAGUCCUUGGGUUCAACUGGAACGCCUUUGCAAGAAUAGUUGGGUUUAUGGCUGGGUUAGCCCCAAACACGGUGUUGGCAAUAGUGAUGACACCAGGGUUUUGGCUGCUUAGAGCGGCGAAUGCAACCGCUGGUCCCUUGCCAAUGUUUGCUUGGAAAUGGAUGAGUCCCUCUGGAAACACAAAUACAUCACCCUCGUUGAGAACUUUAGUGAAAAGGCGAUUAUCCGGGUUUGAUGUGACAAACCCUACGAGAAGUGUUCCUUGUUCGACAACCAAGAUCUCCGUGGCACGUGGGUGGGUGUGAGGUGGGUUCUGUCCGUUAACCGCAUAAUCAAUACGGACAAGGGAGAUUCCAAGAGUAUUUAACCCGAGAAGGUUGUUAACAUUGACGGCUGUCACGGUCGACCCAACUGGACUAGUUACGGGUCUUGCAUUUUGAAGCCCUGAGAAAAAGAAGUCAUCUGCUGUGACGAGUUUCGGGUCCUUGCAGAACUUUCCAUUAACAAAAACUGAAUAUAGUAACCAAGAAGAAAAAGUGUUAUUAAGAUAUGAGAAAAUUUAUCAAAAAAUAUGAGUAAAAGUGAUUUGCAAUCAUCAUGUACAUACCACCAUUUGCUGAGGUGUUGGCGCUGACACAAAAGUCUUGAAGUUGGCUUGGAUCAGAUGCAAUAGCUAAUGGAAGUGUCAAAGCCAAGAGAGAGAGCACUGCAAGAAAUGAGAGACUCUUCAUUGCCAUAAAAGAGAGAGGAAUAAGAUUUUAGUGAAGAGAUAAGAAACUUAAGUGACAUAGACUUCAAUUUAUAGAUGAGUUUACGUGUUGAACUAAUCCAAGAAAUUAAUUAAUGAACUUGAUAUUUGAAAUGGUUAAAGUAUUUAAAUUUGUUUUCUUCAACACAUUAUGUUUAAUUGAAAAUUCAAGUUAAUAAAAUAUAUAUAUAUAUAUUUCCAACGAAACAUGAUGCACUUGAAGUUUUAUAUACAUAGUUCAGUAAAUUAUACGUUUAUUGAAUGAUUACUCGAAGGGAAGGUCAAUGUGAACGUGUUGGGGUGUGUUAAAAUGUUAGCAUCUGAUUGUUUCUUAAUUAUAUGAUAAGACACUAGGAAUAGUAUAGAGAUAAGAUAUAAUAACUAAUGUUUUCAGAGAAUAUUGUACUUUUUCACAUAAAUCUAAACCCCUAUUUCGGUUUUAAAAUCCAUCGUAGAGCACUAGCCAUAUGUAUAUGUGUGUCUCACCGAUGAAUUCUCCGCUUAUAUUCAUCAUUCUGAUUUCUUUUUGUUUUCUUUUGUUUUUUUGGGUUCCAGUGCAUCUUAUUAUCAAAAGAAACAUAACUAGCUAUAUUAUACACACUUUCGAGUAAAACUAAAAUGUUUGAUAAUAUAUACACGGUUCUACUUCUACAUAUUCUUGUUUGAAAAAUCGUUAAUGCGGAAAAUGGAAGAAUUUAAACUAGUGGCCAGUGGAACCAAAAUAUAUCAUAUUAUCCACAACCCACACCUUGGCAAAAAUGACAGUCAUACUAUUUUUUUUUUAUAGUAUUUUAUUAUUAUAAAACAUACUAGAGGUUAUCUAACGCUACGCGCCAAUUUUUUUAGCAGCAAAAUUUCACUGUGUUUAUAAAUAAAAAUUAACCUUUAUUAGUAUUUUAACAACAUAAAAUCUUAUUAUUUGACUUUUGAAAUAUAGUAUUAGCCAAAAUAUAUAUGUCAAUGAUAUUUUACAUCUAUAUUGGUAUAUGUUGAUAUGAAUUUAUUUUCAAAUAGUUUGUGAGAAGCAAUCAUAUAUACGAAAUGCCCAAAUAGAAUACCAUAAUUGCUAAAUAAUAGCUACUAUAGGCGACUAAUCUACGACUAUUUUCAUCAUUCUUCAAUUAGAGACUGAUUAGCGACUAUUGUAUAAUACUCACCGUUUGUUCGCCAAAACAUCGCAAAUCAGUCGCAAAAUUUACCGACUAAUUCAUUAGUCGCCGAAUAAAGUCGCUAAUCCGUGUUUUCUUGUAGUAUAACGUCCUGAGAGAACUCCAUAGUUAAGCGUGCUUGUGCUAAAACAAUUUCAGGAUUUGUGACCUUCCGGGAAGUAAUUACAUGAAUUGUACAAAACACAUAGAAAGAUUAUGUGGUGAUUUGUAGGGUCGGUAAACAAGUCUUUAAAGCUUUUCGGACGUAACGAACCGACCGUCGGACAUGAGUGGGACCCACGGACCCGAGAGAGGAUGUGGGGGCUCACUAGAAGGGGCGGUCGGGGCGUUACAAGUGGUAUCAGAGCCGAACCCAGGCGAGUGUGGAGUCAAGAGGGCUUACACCGUCGGGGUGACGGGCUUGGUGUGCAACGAGGACAUUGCGAUCUAUUAACGGGGGUGAUUGUAACAUCCCGGUUUUAGAAAUAUGGUGGUGCAUGUGGAGAGGUUUAAAAGAAUUGAUUUAGCCACCUAUGUUACAAAAGUGCACUUAUCUUUUCGGUCAAACGUCCUGAGAGAACUCCAUAGUUAAGCGUGCUUGUGCUGGAGCAAUUUCAGGAUGAGUGACCUUCCAGGAAGUGAUUUUCGGAAUUAUGUGAGUGAGAACAAAACACAGGGAAAUAUCAUGUGCUGAUUUGUAGGUCGGUAAACAAGUCUUUAAAGCCUCCUGGACGUAACGGACCGACCGUCGGAUAGGAGUGGGACCCACAGACUCGAGAGAGGACGUGGAUGCUCACUAGAAAGGACGGUCGGGGUGUUACAAAGAUAUAUUGCAAAAAUUAUUAAAAGCAUUUAUCUGGGAAAGGUUAGAUCGUGCAUCGCGAGACUUUAUCUGGGGAAGUACAGUGGUGCAGCGGAAACAACAUUUGGUGGGCUGGGAAAAAGUUUGCAGGCCCAAAUCAGAGGGGGGCCUGGGUGUUAGGGCUGCGCAUAAUAUGAAUAAAGCCUUGAUCUCGAAACUGGGCUGGAGGGUGAUUAAUGAUCAGCAUAGUCUAUGGGCAACGAUUCUGCGAAAAAAAUAUAGAGUGGGAGACCUACAUGAUCAGUCGUGGACAGUGGCCAAGAGUCAUUGGUAAUCUACCUGGAGAAGUGCAAAUGUCGGGUUGAGAGAGGUGGUGUUGCCGGGUUUGCACUGGGUCUUGGGCGAUGGCAGGCAAAUUAAAUUUUGGACUGAUACAUGGUUGUUCUCUACUCCGUUGGUGGACUGUACGAGUAGUGAUCUCCCGGAGACGUUGGCGGGAAGCUGUGUUCGAAAUUUCUGGAGUAAUGGAGCGGGAUGGGACUUUAAUCAGAUUAUGGGAUAUUUGUCGGAGGAGAAAAAACUGCAGCUUCUAGCAGUGGUGCUUGAUAAUGUCACCGGCGCUAAAGACAGAGUCUCAUGGGGAGGGACUACGGAUGGGAGAUUUACGGUGAAGUCAGCCUAUGCUUUCCUUACUAAAGAUGAGACGCCGAGACCGGGUAUGAGUAAGUUUUUUGAGAAGAUAUGGAGGCUGGUAGCACCGGAAAGAGUAAGAGUUUUCCUAUGGCUAGUCACACAUCAAGUAAUCAUGACAAAUGUGGAAAGAGCCCGACGUCAUUUGGGAGACUCAUCGGUUUGUCAGAUUUGCAAAGGAGGGGAAGAAACUAUUCUUCACGUUUUACGGGACUGUCCUGCAAUGUCUGGUUUGUGGGCUCGUAUCAUCCCUCAACGUGUCUUGAAUACUUUUCUCGCAGACCCUAUUGGAAUGGUUACACACAAAUUUGAGUGCAACCGUGGAAAUAGGUGAGAGCCCGUGGCCUACUCUUUUUGCAAUGACAGUGUGGUGGGGAUGGAAGUGGAGAUGUGGGAAUGUGUUUGGAACAAAUGGUCGAUGUCGGGAUAGAGUGUGUUUUGUGAAGGAUAUCGCCAGAGAGGUUACGGCUGCGAACUUGAGUGUUAAUGCAGGAGGCCGGGAUGGUCCUACUCGGGCGGUAAGACAGAUUGCUUGGAUACCGCCAGAGGAGGGUUGGUUGAAGCUGAACACGGAUGGGGCCUCUCAUGGCAAUCCGGGUUUAGUAACUGCAGGUGGAGUGCUUCGGGAUUGUGAUGGGAAUUGGUGUGGCGGUUUUGCGGUAAACAUCGGGGCUUGUACGGCACCUCUAGCUGAGUUAUGGGGAGUCUAUUAUGGAUUGUUUAUAGCUUGGGAGAGAGGAGCUAGACGGGUUGAGCUGGAGGUGGACUCGGAGAUAGUCGUGGGAUUUCUUAAGACAGGGAUUAAUGAUUCACAUCCACUGUCGUUCCUAGUACGUUUGUGCUAUGGCUUUAUUACGAAGGACUGGAUUGUCCGUAUUUCACAUGUGUAUAGGGAGGCUAAUCGUCUUGCGGACGGAUUAGCUAACUAUGCGUUUUUCGUUACCGCUGGGCUUCCAUAUGUUGGGGUCUACGCCGGAUUUUGUUUGAGGAUUCUAUAGGACUCUCGCAUCCGCGAAAUGUCCGAGUGUAGUUCGUAUUUCUUUUUUAAUAAAAUGGGAGACUAGAUCUCCCUCUUGUUCAACAAAAAAAACAAAAACAAAUGGUGUUGAAAUAAUAAUAAUUUAUAAGCCAAAAAAAAAUCGAACGGUUUACGGUUUUAAACCCAACCGAACCGGAACCAAAAUAUUUUAAAUAAUUGUAACUGAGUAUGUUGUUGGAAGAAACCGAAACCAAAACAAAUCACUUAAUUACGGUUCGAUUCGAUUUUGAUAAGGUUUUUUCUGUCCACUCUUAAUUUAUUACUGCAGACAUAGGUUUAUAAUAUAUUUUUAUCGAUAAAAAAUUUAUAACAGAGAAAAUACAAUGUAUAGAAAAUGAAUAUAUAUAACAAUACUAAACACAAACUUGGUUAACAAAAAUAUUCAACAUUAAUUAAAAAAAUAAAGCAAAAGUCCACUCGUAGAACGGAAACUUACCUAGUCAGUUAUUAUCUGAGAAUAGGGCCACCAACUAUCAAUCGAUUUGGACUUUUCCAUGUUUGACUAACAAAUUAGCUUAAUUUUUUUAUCAAUUAUUUUAGAGAAAACAUAUAUAUUCCAUAAAUUCAUAGAUGCAGAUAUCAACACCCUAUGAUUUUAACUUAUCUAAUUUCUUAAUAAAUCCAAGAACAUAAUUCAAGACAAUCCUAAAAAAACCACAUAAACUAUCAAUUGAAUCUAAGACCACAUGCAACAUCACACUAAGUUUCUGCGUUAAUUUUCUUUUUAUCAUUUAAGAUUUUUGAACAAUGAAAAUAGCAAAAUACUAUCAAUUAAUUAAUUUUUACCGCGAAAUAAGAUUUUAUAUCAUUAUAUAUUAGUUACUUUAAUAUGUCCCUUUUUUUGGACAAAAUUUAUUUUAGUAUGCCAUUGUGUAGGAUUUCACCACUAAUUGUUAUGUAGUUCUCAAUAGUUUUUUCAGAAGAAAAAAAUGUAACAAUUCGUUCACAUAGUAUUUUUUAUAUGGUAACUGUAGAUUAAUGUUAAAAUUUACAUUUUAUUUUCAAAACAUUAAAAACUCUGUAAAAUGAUACUCCGUUUGUUUUAAAAUAUAAAAUAAUUUAAAAUUCUUCUCCCUUAAAGAACGGAAAAAGAAACGUAGUCGAUUAGAAGAUAACAAUGGAAAAAUGAAAAAUAGGUAUCAUUUUACAGACUAUGACAUCAUAGUACACCUUGUGCAAAUCACUACAAAUACAUUUUUUCUAACUUUACCUAACAAUGCGAUAUUUGGCCCUCUAUUUUUAUGAUAGAUGUAAUUUUCAUUAAUUUUUUAGUUUGACAUUCUAAAUUUACAAAAUGGUCAUUAAUAGUUUUCCCACAUUUAUAUUUUUAACCAAAAGUGUGACUUUACUACUUAAUUAUUUUCGGUUACAAAUGUCAAUAUUUAUUACAUAUUAAACUAUAAUUUUGAGAAGAACUAUUUUUUACUAUAAUUGGAACUCUCUUAAUUAGUUCUAUUAAACGCAUCAUGUAACUUUGACAAUGUUGGUGUUGUAAGAGAGGCCUUGGAAGCUAGGUAGAAGAAGGUGAAACACUAAACGUCUUUAUGAUUUUGUUAGAAGAUUGUUGAUGGGUAUUUAUUCUUUUGUUAUCGAUGAAACAUAUAUAGUUUAAAUGGGAGCCGACAUAUUGGAAACAACAGAAAUUGAUGAACACUUGCUGUAACCCUCGAAAUCUUUGUUGCACAUGUAUGAUUUUGAAUUCAAAAUGUUUUGUUAAAACUAAAAAUGAAAGAAAACUAUUCUUGUAAAAUGGAAAAAAUAUUUUUGAAGUAAACUAUCAUAUUAGAAAAAAAUAAAAAUAGAGUCAAAUUCUUACCAUCAUUAUGUCUCGAUUGAUUUAUCAACCCAUUAGAUUUCAUGCUUGGUAAGGUUUAUGCUCUCCAUAAAUUUUGGGAUUAGGACUAACAUAGAUCAAAAUUUUCUAUACAAAUUUGAUUUUAAGAUAUGGUGGAGGAGGAAUAGUGAACAAGCAGAAGAAGAAAAGAUAAAGUAAGCAGAAAACCUCCCAGGCACGAUUAUCGAAACAAUUUUUCUGAGCUCCCUUUCUGACGCCGGUGAAGCUUUGGCUCGCCGGCGUCGGGACACCUCUUCUUCCUUUAACUUGCAUCUCCUAUAUCUCUCGAUAAUCUUUGUUAGGCCAUUUUCUCAAUCAUCCCUAAACUCCAAUCUUUCAACGUGUUUCGAUGGCUCCGACCGAAUCUGUGACAGAGGACUAAGGCGGUCUCCGGCGACCUUCUCCCAGCCUUACCCUCUACUUAAUUCAAUUUCGAAAUCGAAGAAAGAAGUCCACACUUUUCCCAGCGGUGCUUUAUCUCACAAAUCGGAACCUUGCCUCAUCGAUCCGCCAAGAUACUCUAGCUCUCGACCUUUACCAGAAGGUUCCACGCACCAGCAGAUGUUGUUCAGCGUUCCAAUUCUUGGAAUGACUUCUCCGGUGAUGUUGGCGGCGGUGUACGGCAGAGCUCCUCAAACCAGAGGUAUGCUAGGGUUUCCUUUAUUGGACUGGACUCAAUUGGGCCCAAUUGACUAUAUCUCUCGGCCCAUUACCAAAAGUUGCAACCCAACUUCUCACUUUGCUUGGCCCAGGUCUGCUUUUCUUAAUUUUUUGCUUAGCCCAUCAUCUUUGACAUCUCGAUAUAGCGACUUGACUGGCCGAGGACUCCAACUAAGUCCUAUGUCGUUAUCAUUGCGAUGGGUGUGUAAUUAUAUUUCUCGAACCUUGGCCAUUUGCAAAUCUGCGAUUACUUCAUCGUUUCAUCAAAGCUUCAGGCUAAUCGAUUUGUUGUCUCUAGUUUCUAGAUAUGUUAACAGACUGAAGAAUAACGGCAUUAUGAUCUCCUCUCUAAGGAGAGGUGAUUACCGGAACUUCUUCAAUCUUUUUUCCAUGUUUCCUCUGAAUACCGAAUCCGAGCAAGUGUUAUCCUAUGAUUAUAAGGUUGAUAUUCAUGAAAUCAAAGGUUGGAGGAACUUUGGCAUUAUGAUCCCGUUCCCAUGGAACGGUGGUUACCAAAGCUUCCUCAACUUUUUACCUCCGAACCCGCCCGACGACAGAACCAGUUUAACUUCUCUCCUUGCUGAUGAGCAAAUCCAGCUCGCUAUACUCGUGCCGGCGAGAACCUCGGCUAUGGAACCCUAUUCAACGUCACUUAGUCUAUUGACCGUGACCAUCGUAUCGUCUAACGCUUCGUUCGUGGAUGAUUCUUCGACAAACCGUGUUAUCACUUGCACCAAUUUGCUUCAUUCCUUUGGCCUCCAAGCUCUCAUGGAUCCUUUGUCGAAUUACUUUUGCUAUCUAUGUGUAGCAUUUGCUUUAACCUUUGUUUGUUGUUGCUACUUUUUUUUAAGCCUUCUUAUCCUUGUACCUUUGGCUACUUUGAACCUUGUCUCGUUUGAAUGAAUGAAAACAAGUUGUUUGACAAAAAAAAAAAAGAUAUGGUGGAGGAGGAUAAGAAUAUGAUUAUUUAUAAAAUGAGAAAUGGUAAAAGUUACAUUUAAACAAAUAAUUUAAGUAAUUAAGUGAGUUACAAUUAUGGUAAAAAUAGUUUAUCUCAAAAUUCUAGUUUAAUAUAUAGUAAAUAUUGACAUAUGUAACUGAAAAAUAAUUAAUUAAUAGAGUUAUAAUUUUUUGUUAAAAAUAAUAUAUGUGGGAAAAUAAUUGGUGACCAAUUUUUUAAAUGAAGAAAUGUAGAAAGUCAAACUAAAAAUCAAUGAAGAGUUUAUAAGCAAUCAAGAGUACAUGUGUCACAAAAAUAGAAUGUCAAAUGUUGCAAUGUUAGGCAAAAUUAGAAAAAACAAUUUCAUAUUAUAUAAGACUAGGUGAGUAUCCGCUCUACGAGCGGGCUUUCUCUUUAUUUUUUUUUCUAAAUUAACAUUGAAUAUUUUUGUCGAUCAAUUUUUGUAUUUAUUAGAGUUAUAAAUAUUUAUUGUUUUAUACUUUGUAUUUCUUCUUUUAAAAUUUAUUUUAUAAACGUAAAUAUCUAGUAAUAAAUUAGGGGUGGGCAGAAACCUCAUCAAAAAAGUUGAACCUGUGAUUCAUUUUGGUUUCGGUUUUUUCCAAAAACUGUUCGGCUACAAAUAUAUAAAAUAAAUUGGUUUCGGUUCGGUUUAAUUUAAAACCAUAAAGCCAUUCGGCUUUUUUGCAAUAUUUUUUCCUUUUCUUGGUAAUAAAAGCUACAUGAAUAAAUUUUCUCAAUCUAAUGACAUUUGUUUUAGAAAGUUUAUAAUUCCUAUUAGAAAAUAAAAAAGAAAAAUCUUUGGAAGAUGAUAUAUUUUAUAAUAAUAUUAUGUUUAACAUUUAAUUGGUGAAGUAUGUUGGAAUGUACUCAUGGGUUCAUUGAUCUAAAUCAAAGAUGAUACAAUUUAAUAUAAAUAUUUAAUGUUUUUUAUUUUUUGAAAAAAUUAUGGAAUAAACAAAAAAUAACCGAAAUCGAACCAAACCAAAUUUUAUAAGGUUUUUAUGUGGUUUUCUAUUUUUUAUAAAACCAAUUAAUCGUAAGACAAAAAAACAAUUUGUUUUUUUAUAGAGAAAGCGAAAUUUUGUUUUCUUUUUUUAUUUAAUUUUGCUUCAAGCCAUUCAACUCAUAUUACCCGUAAGUUUAGAGGGGGUUAUUGGUUCAUUUGUUAUUCAAUCAUUGAUUUUACAAUCCUAAUUAAAAUUAUGUGUUAUUGGUUCUAUGGUUUAUAAAUAUUAGUUAAAAUCCUAUCUCAUUCGUUUAGUCAUUUGAUUUUGGAUUUCAAAAUCCAAAUUAAUUAUGUUUUAAAUGGAUUUGAAAGAAAAAAAUAGAAGGAUUCAAAUCCAUGGGUAAACACAUGUUAUUUCAAAACUCAUAUGUCUUGAUUUCAUAAUUACUAAAGAUUUUCAAAUCCUAUAGGGAUUUACAAAUCAAUAACUAAUAACACCCCCUAAGUUUCUGUCCAAUUCACUAUGUACUUUUAGCCUCUGUCUAGUUCACCACAUACUCUUCUUCAUCUUUAUAAUCACAUCUCUAUUAAAAAGUAAAAAUCUCAAUUCAAUUUUAUUACCUUAUCAUAACACCAAUAUCAAUUGAAUCUCAUACUCUUGAGCUACUUGCCAUCGAUGUAGUACCCUCAAUUCUAUAAGGCGAAACAUCUCUCCUUUUUUUUUGUUAAAGGAUUCUCAAGGCGAAACCUCUUAAUGAGCUAGAGACUUUAAUAUAUUUUGGAAUGAAUAUAGAUUGUUUUUUUGUUGAAGAAAACUCCAUCAGAAUAGAGAUAACUUGUCGUGAAUUUUUAAAAUGACUUUAGGAACAUGAAUCCAUUUCUGAAAAAUACAAAUGUUACUUUAUUUAGAAUUGAAUCAAGGUAAAAGCAAAGAAAGACAUCAUGUCAUGAUGAUACGAUGAACGGAAAUACAAGAUUGUUAUUCAUGCACAAGUACAUAAAGGGAAAGCAAUUCAAAUCACAAUAUUAUUAUUUCUUGAACUUGGUCUGUAGAUCCACAACAACCCUUGGGUCCAACUGGAACGCCUUUGCAAGAAUAGUUGGGUCUAUGGCUGGGUUAGCCCCAAACACGGUGUUGGCAAUAGUGAUGACACCAGGGUUUUGGCUGCUUAGAGCGGCGAAUGCAACUGCUGGUCCCUUGCCAAUGUUUGCUUGGAAAUGGAUUAGUCCCUCUGGAAACACAAAUACAUCACCCUCGUUGAGAACUUUAGUGAAGAGGCGAUUAUCCGGGUUUGAUGUGACAAACCCUACGAGAAGUGUUCCUUGUUCGACAACCAAGAUCUCCGUGGCACGUGGGUGGGUGUGAGGUGGGUUUUGUCCGUUAACCGCAUAGUCAAUACGAACAAGGGAGAUUCCAAGAGUGUUUAACCCGAGAAGGUUGUUAACAUUGACGGCUGUCACGGUCGACCCAACUGGACUAGUUACGGGUCUUGCAUUUUGAAGCCCUGAGAAAAAGAAGUCAUCUGCUGUGACGAGCUUCGGAUCCUUGCAGAACUUUCCAUUAACAAAAACUGAAAAUAAGAAGAAAGAGUGUGAUUAAGAUAUGAGAAAAUUUAUUAAAAAUUAUGAGUAAAAAUGAUUUGCAAUCAUCAUGUACAUACUUCCAUUUGCUGAGGUGUUGGCGCUGACACAAAAGUCUUGAAGUUGGCUUGGAUCAGAAGCAAUGGCCAAUGGAAGUGUUAAAGCCAAGAGAGAGAGCACUGCAAGAUAUGAGAGACUCUUCAUUGCCAUAAAAGAUAGAGGAAGGUGUUUUUGUUUCUUGAAUAAGAUUGUAUUGAAGAGAUAAGAAACUUAUGAGACAUAGACUUCACUUUAUAGAUGAGUUUACGUGUUGAACUAAUCCAAGAAAUUAAAUAAUGAACUUGAUAUUUGAAAUGGUUAAAAAAGUUUUUUUUUUUUCAACCCAUUAUGUUUAAUUGAAAACUCAAAUUAAAAUGUAUACAUAAAUUUCUCCAACGAAACAUGAUGCACUUGAAUUUUGAAAUGGCAAGUGUUAGCGAGAAUAUAUACAUAGUUCAGCAAAUUGUACGUUCAAAGAUUAGUUUGUUGAAUAAUUCUUCCCUCAAUUUGUCAUUUAUUUCACUGAGUCAAACAAAAGGUCAAUGCGAUCGUGUUGAACUAAUCCAAGAAAUUAUGAACCUGAUAUUUGAAAUGGUUAAAGUAUUUAAACUUUGUUUUCUUUAACACAUCAUGUUUAAUUGAAAUUCAAGAUAAUAAAAUAUAUAUAUAUAUAUUUCCAACGAAACAUGAUGUACUUGAAGUUUGCUAUACAUAGUUUAGUAAAUUAUACGUUUAUUAGUAUAUACAUAGUAAAAUUAAAUAUGAAUCAAUGUUUAGGAAAUUAACAUAUAUAGAUCGAAAAAAACUAAGGUGAUUUAAAAUAAAACAAAAAAAUAUCCUAAACAUCAAAAAUCAAAACAAAAUAAUUUUAUCGAAUAAUAAAACUGUGUAAUAAUAAUAUUUGAGAAUGUAUUUGGAAAUUAGAAUAGUAUUGGUAGAUUGAAGAGUUUUUCAUUAGAAAUAAAAAGGAUUUUGUUUUUUUAAAUAAAUAUAUUUUAAAAUUAGAAUAAUUUUUAUGAGUUCGUAAGUUUCACAUUUUAGAAAAAUAAACAUUAAGAAUACAAUCUAGAAUUAUAAUAUACGUUAAAUUAUAUAUGUAGAAACUGCAAAAUUUUACAUUGAAAUCAUAUGUUUGUGAAUAGGAAUGAGUCCAUAUAUGAGAUUUCUUGUCUAUAAAGCAAUUUUAGAUGCACCAAAACAUGGUAGAAAAAAAACUUAUGACAAACAUCUCCUCAGAUUUCUGUUUCUGAUGUUUACUUUAAUAAAAAGAUCAUGAAACUUAUAAAAAAAAAUUGAGUAUUUAAUGAUAUGAAGGAGAAAAUAGAAAUGAUCUAAGGAGAAAAGAGAGUAAAUGUCGGAACACGACGAGUGAAUCAUAGAAGAUAACGAGAAAAAUUGUAGUGAAAAUGUGAGAAAUUUUUUACUAUUUUGGAAAAGUAAUGCAUAUGGGUAAAAUAAAAUCUUUUAAAAUUCAAUUAAGUAUAUUUUUACUCAAAAUAAAAAUUUCAAAUUAAGUUCUGCGCAACGUGUGGAUAUACAAUCUACUCCCUCUGUUCCUCCAAGUUUGAUGUUUUACAUAGUUUAGCAGAUUAUACGUUAUAUGUUUAGUUUGUUGAAUAAUUCUUCCCUCAAUUUGUCAUUUAUUUCACUAAGUCAAACAAAGGGUCAAUGUGAACGUGUCGGGGUGUGUUAAAAUGUUAACGUUUUUGGUUUUGUUUGAUGAUAAGACACGACUAUAUAAACCAUAUAUAUAUAAAUGGAUGCUGGGAAUAGUAUAGAGAUAAUUAAGAUAUAAAUAAUGUUUUCAGAUAUAUCGGUUCUAGCUAGGCCUGGGUACAAGAUAAGUACUUGCUAUUUUUUAAGUAUUUGUGACUUGCUUUAGCCCGUACAAGUAAUUAAAAUUUCGGCUUGAUACUCGAUUUUUUUGAGCAAGUACUUGCUAUAAUAAGUACCCGUCCAAAAUCUUGUUACUUGCAAGUAACUUGACUCAGCUUGUUACUUGCAAGGUAAAUUGACUUGAUUUGGCUUGUUACUUGCAAGAUACUUGUUACUUGAAGUUUUGAACUAAAUGAUUUAAUUUAAAUAAAAAAACGAAUCUCAUACAUAUUAUAAUUCAUUCCGAAUUCUAAACAUCAUAAAAUCACCAAAUAUUAAAGUUCAAAACAUCAUGGAAUCACAACACAUUCAAAAUUCCAAAAGAUAAGCAUUUUAAAACAAUUUGGUUCAAACUGAAACCCUAAAAAAAGAGAAACUGUGAAAGACUUCUCCGGAUUGUUUUUUAUUGUUUAUUUGCUAUUGGAUUUUUAAAGUAGUUGGGUUAUUUAGGUUUAAUGGGCUUUAAGUUGUAACUAAUGUUAGCCCUUAUAGUUUUAGUUUAUAACAUUGGGCUUCAUAGUUUUAGUAAUUGGGUUUAAUAGUGGUUGGGCUUUAUAGUUUAAAUAUGUCUUAUAAUACAAAACGGGGCGAGUAACGGGGCAAGUAUCAAAACGGGAUGAGUAACGGGCCAAAUAUAAAAAAAAAUUAUGAUACUUGAUACUUGACCCUUACUUGCAAGUAAUAUAAUUUAUCUACUUGAUACUCGACUUGACUAUAGCGGGUAUUUGAAUUUUCAACGCGAGUACGAACCAAAUAGCGUGUACAAAACGGAUAGCGAGUACUUGUGCCCAAACCUAGUUCUAGCUAAAUCCAUCGUCGAGCACUAGCCAAAAAUAUGUGUCACCCAUGAAUUCUCCUCUUAUAGUCAUCAUUAUGAUUUCUUUCCAAUAUUUUUUUGGUUUACGUUUUAACAUGUAAAAACAUUACACACAUUCGAGUAAAACUAAAAUGUUUAACAAAUCGUUAAUGCGGAAAAUAGUAAGUGGGACAAAAAUAUAUCUUAUCAUCGGCAACAACCAUAUAUACGUCGUUUCCCUUUUAAUAUAAAACUUAUUUCCUACCUUAUAGACCCGAACCCGAUGAUAUCGGGGAUCCAAAGCAUAGUCGUCGGCCCAAUUAAUUAUUUGGGCCCACAAUAAUUUUUUCGUCCAAGUGAAAGAAGAUAAUCCACUAGAUUUGUUUUUUUUUUUUUCUCUCUCUUUUGAUACAAAUUGAACAAACAAGACGAAGAAGAAAAGACUAAACAAAAAUCAAAUCAAGUUAAUUAAAACCGAGUAAGAACUUCCUAGGCACGUGACUCGUCUUUAAUUAACUUCUUUAGCUAAAAGAUUAGAUUCUUCGUCCUUGACUCCUCAAGGCGAAACCUCUUUCUUUCUGUUUUUAUGGUAAAAGAUUCUCAAGGCGAAACCUAUCAAUAAGCUACAGACUUUAAUAUAUUAAUUUAGGAAUGAAUAUAGAUUUUUUUUUUUUUUUUGUUGAAGAAAACUCCAUCAGAAUAGAGAUAAUUUGCAGUCGUGAAUUUCCAAAAUGACAUUAGGAACAUGAAUCGAUUUCUAAAAACAUAAAAAUAUUAAUUUAUUUAGAGUUUGAUUAAAAGCAUUGACAAACAUUCAUGCCAUGUAAUGAUAAGCGGAUAAUACAAGAUCCUUAUUCAGCUGGAAGUACAUAAAAGAAAAAGCAACUAAAAGCACAAUAUUAUUAUUUUUUGAACUUGUUCUGUAGAUCCACGACAAUCCUAGGGUCCAACUGGAACGCCCUUGCAAGAAUACUUGGGUUAAUCGCUGGGUUAGACCCAAACACUGUGUUAGCAAUAGUGAUGACACCAGGGUUUUGGCUGCUUAGAGCGGCGAAUGCAACCGCUGGUUCCUUGCCAAUGUUUGCUUGGAAAUGGAUGAGUCCCUCUGGAAACACAAAUACAUCACCCUCGUUAAGAACUUUAGUGAAGAGGCGAUUAUCCGGGUUUGAUGUGACAAACCCUACGAGAAGUGUUCCUUGUUCGACAACCAAGAUCUCCGUGGCACGUGGGUGGGUGUGAGGUGGGUUCUGUCCGUUAACCGCAUAAUCAAUACGGACAAGGGAGAUUCCAAGAGUGUUUAACCCUAGAAGGUUGUUAACAUUGACGGCUGUCACGGUCGACCCAACUGGACUAGUUACCGGUCUUGCAUUUUGAAGCCCUGAGAAAAAGAAGUCAUCUGCUGUGACGAGUUUCGGGUCCUUGCAGAACUUUCCAUUAACAAAAACUGAAAAUAGUAACCAAAACGAUAGAGUGUUAUUAAGAAAUGAGAAAAAUUAUCAAAAAUAAAAGUAAAGUGAUUAGGAAAUCUAUAUGUACAUACCUCCAUCUGCUGAGGUGUUGGCGCUGACACAAAAGUCUUGAAGAGGGCUUGGAUCAGAAGCAAUGGCUAAUGGAAGUGUUAUAGCCAGGAGAGAUAGAACUACUAGAAAUGGGAGACUCUUCAUCGCCAUAUAGAGAUUCUUCGAAGAGAGGAAGGUUUUUUGUUUUCUUGAAUUAAAUUGUAGUGAAGAGGUAAGAAACUUAUGACAUAUAGACCUCCAUUUAUAGAUGAGUUUACAUGUUGAACUAGUCUAUACACUUGCAGAUCCAAUCAGUUAAAUAAUGAAAUUGAUAUUUCUCCAACGAAACACGAUGCACCUGAAGUUUGAAAUUAAUGGCAUGUGUUAGCGAUAAUACAUUAUGUAUAGUUCAACAUAUUAUUCGUUAAAGGUUAAGUUUGUUGAAUGAUUCUUCCCUCAAUUUGUCAUUUUAUUUUACUGACUUGAACAAAUUAAUGGUCAAUGUGAACGUGUUGGGUUUUGUUUAAUUUUUCUAGAUGAUAAGACACGACUGUAUCAACCAAAUAUAUAUAAGUAGUUAUUUUUUGGAGAAUAGUUUACUCUCUUUACUCUUUGACUUUCUUCUUUGUUGGCUAAAAAGUUUACAUUGUAAACGAGAUAAAUGGUCUUUUAGACCUAAGCCAGUUAGCAGAAAUUAGGAAAAAAAAAUCAGGAUUAUUACAUUGUAAAGAUUAUUACAUUGUAAUAAUGUACUGUGGUUAAAUUACAUUGUAAAGAUUAUUGCCAAGUUCAAAAGAGAUCAAUGCAGUUUUGCCACCAAAUAUUUUCAGAGGCUGUUCUCGUAACUAAUCGAACAGAUUUGUGAUUGUAUUUGAAUCAUAUUUAACUGUUCAUAACAUUUGAUAUGAACAUGAUUUCAACAAAGGAUAUGACAUAUGCUGAGUUAAACAUGAUUUGAUGACCAAAUGGUAUGACAACAUUAUUUUUCUAUGUAUAGCGGUUUUCGACAUCAACAUAAAAAAAUUUGGUUUCUCCAGAAAAUGAUUUCUUAAAUCCGAAUAUUUAUUUGGAUGAAAGACUAAAAGUCUAAAUGAGACAAAUAUGUGUCUCAUUCUCAAGAAUGACAGGUCACGGAAAAUGUCAGAGCUAGUUAUGCUCUAUAAUGUUGAAAAAAAAUCUUAUGUUCAAAGUUUAGAAAAAUUCUCCCAAGAUUAGUCUUGUAGAUCCAAUCAACAUUUGCAUCUGGAAGGUUAAUAUAAGAUAAUGUUCUUACCACUUAUGAGAUGUUCUAUGUACUCCGCCCAACUAAUCUUGCAAAACAAAAUUUAUGACUAAUAAGAGCAUGUGCAGUGUGGUGAGAGAUUUAAAUAAAGCUCUCAUAAAAUAAUAUUAUUAUUUUGUGUGUACUUUAUUAUGAAAACUUUUUACAGAUAUUUUAUUUCCAUUGGUGAGUCUCUCACCAAAAAUCUCUCACUAAUAUAAUAAUUAUUUUUUCAAAAAAAAGUACAAUAUUUAUUGUAGUUUAUUAUUUGUAAUAUAAUUUAACUUGAAAUUAUAUUUUAUAUUUUAUUUUAAAUUAAAGAUUUUUAAAUAAUAUCUUUAAAUUAUAUAUAUCAAAUUAUAUUUUAAAUAUAUUCAAUUUUAUGAAUUAGUUAUAUUCCCUUGUUUAUAUAAUCUGUAAUAGUAACAAUAAUAAAACCAUAAAUAUUAUUAAUUAAAAAUAAAAUUAAAUAACAUAAAUUCUUAAAAAAAAUUAAAAUGCAAAAAAUACAUAAUAACAUAUAAAACCAUGAUCAAAGAUAUAAUAAAAGAGAUGAAGUCUCUAUAUAUAGGGAACAAUUUUUUUUUUUGGUCAACAUAAUAAACUAUUAUAAUAUAUAAUUUUAUAACUAUCAAAAUAUAUUUUAAAAUUUUCGAAUCUCAGAUAUUUUAGUUAUAUAUUUUAAAUAAGCGUUUUAACAAAAAUAAUAUUAAAAUUUUAUUAUUAUAAUUUUAACUAAUAUUAAUUAAAAUAAUAUUAAUAUAUAAUUUAAAAAUUCAUGCAUAAUGGAACUUGUUAGAUAGGUAAUUUUAUUUUAUGAUUUCUAAAAAAAAAUAAAAGAAAAAUAAUAACAUAUAAACUAUUUAAUUAACUUUUAAAUUAUUAGGUAUUUGAUUUAUCCUAAUAAAAUUUAAACCAUUUACAAAAUGACAUCUAUCCCAUAUAAGAGGCUCUCAUGAGGUUCUCAAAGUCCCUCAUAUGAGAAUCGAAUCUCAUGCACUUUUUAGCUAAAACAUUAAUUUAAUAUUUUUUAUUGUUUUUAAUUGUGAAAGACUUAUUGAGAGACUAUAAUCAUGCUCUAAGCAUUAUUAAAUUCUGCCUUAGCUCUAUCAAUGUGACACAUCAAUUUACUUUAGUAUUAAGUUUUAAUCAAUGGAAAAUACAAAGAAAUAUUUACCCCCAUAGAAACCUUCACCAAAGCAAUCGACUUAUUUAUUAAUGUAUGGAAGUUCUAUUGCUAAUAUCCGUACGACAAAAUGGAAGAUAUGCUAAAUGACAUUAGGUUACUCGAGAGAGUAUUAUUUCUUUCUCAUGCAUACGUUAUUAACAUAUGAUAUCAUUUUUUUCGCAAAGCAGAAGAACCUCAAUGUAAUUUCAUACUUGAAAUAAUCCGAAAAUGUGGGAAGGCGUUCUGAUAAGUUUGGAGGAAACCUUAGUAGUAAAAUAGUUUCUCUCUCAAUUUUAUUCAUUAGCCAAUAUGCUUAUUUAUACAAAUAUCAUAACUUAAUUAACAAGUUCUUUACAUAUAUGAUAAUAGAAAAUCUACUAAUUUAAUAAUAAGAAUAUAUUAUACAAAUGUUAACUUUCCUUUCAAGUCGAUCUCGUAAUCCCCGAGAUCUCCUAACACCCUCCCGGCCCGCAAACUCAUACGUGGUAACAUGUAUGAGAUUGGACAAUCAUCUUCACGGUCUUCAUACCAACUAUAGGGUUAUCAAUGGCGUUUAUAACUCGCCAUAAGGUCAUCAAUUCAAUGGAGGAUACUUUAAUAGUUGUGUAUCUCCAACGAUUUUAGAUCGCAAGUCUUGGUUGCUUUUCGAACUUCUUGUUCAUGAAGAAACUUGUGUAGUAGUCAUGGUCGAAUUCGAAUUCGUCACCGCCGGAUCAGCAUCGUAUCCGUCAGAAUCAUUUUCGUGGCUUCCAUCUUUUUCGUAGUUAGACGAAAAACCACAUGAAGACCAGUUAAAAACCAAACAUAACCAUAUGGUUUUGUUGGUCAUCAUCCUUACCAAAGUAAAUCGUUUGUUUAUAUCAUCUUUUGUAGUGAGUGAUAUGAACAACGUCUUCUUCUUCAGGAUUUCUUCUUCUUCAAAUAACUAGCAAGUUUUGCUAAUUAAUAAAAAAUCAAUCGAGGUCAUUAACUGACCCAAUUCAACAACGUAAUUCACCGACAUGAUGAACACGUCUCUCUUCUCUUUUUUUUUUUUUUUAUAACAAAUAAAAUCUAUACUAUAUAAAAGUCGAGGCUAUAAGCUCCUGAGGCCGUCCACGUAAGGUUUUAAACGACCAAUCGGGAUUGGACAUGCAUUAAUUAACAUAUUUUGAUUAUGAUAAUUUUCUAUAUUAAAGUUUUAGUAAAAAGGAAAAGAAAAACAAUAAGAGAAAUAUUUGAAAAUAUAGAAAUAUUUCUAAUUAUAAUCUUGUGUUUUUUGAAAAUAUAGAAAUAUUUCUAAUUAUAAUCAAAAUGUCAAGUUUUAAUUUUUAAAGAUUAUAAAUUUAUAUAGAAAUAUCUAAAAAUAUGAAACAAUUCUGAAUAUAAAUUUUGUUAUCAAAUACAUAAAAUGAAAAUAAUAAAAAAUGUAAAUAUUUUUUGACAUUAGUUAAUAUUUUUUGACAUCACGUUAAUUAAAUUAUAAAAUUAUAAUAUUUUAUAUAUUAAUAUAUUUAUGAGAAAAGAAAAAAAAAUUAUAUAUGCAAAGAAUAUAAAUGUCAACUUUUGAAAAACAACAUAUGGAAAUAAGAAAAUCAAAAUAUACAAGAAAAAGUAAAUUUUUGAAAAACAAUAUAUGGAAUACGUUAAACUUAUAUUCUUAUUUUGUUAAUUUGCUAAUUUUCCAACAAAAAAAAAGAAUAUUGACAAAAAACAUAUUCGAUUAACUCUAGAUCUUUUCAAUAUAAAUAAUAACCGGAGGCAUCUGAUUUGAUUAUAAUUUUUAAGCUAUAUAUUUCAAGCCGUUAGUAACAAUUAGGGUUGGUUAGUACUUUUAAUGGUAAAAAAAGUCGAGGCUAUAAGCUUCUGAGGCCGUCCACAUGGGAUUUUAAACCACCAAUCACGGUUAGACAUGUCAUUAGUUAACGUUUUUGAAAUUAUUAUUAUUUUCUAUUUUUUUUUAAGAUUUUUGUAUAAAUGGAAGAAGCAACAUAUAUAAAUAAGAGAAAUAUUUGGAAAUAUGGAAAAUUUUCUAAAUAUUUUGUCAUCAAAAUACAUAAUAUAAAAAUUAUCAAAAUGUAAACUAUCUUUUUUUAAGUUUAUACAAUUUUAAACGAAAUACAGAAUUUAUUUUUAGUCUUACUACAUUUAUUAGUAAUUUAUCUUCAAUAACAAUAGCCAUUUAAUCACAAUAGAUAUCUCAUUGAACGAUAUUUUAAAAAUUUAUGACUUUUAUUUUAAAAGUAUUUAAAGUUAGAAAAAAAAUACGACAAUAUAUUGAAGCAAGAUGUAUAUAAAUUUUGUUAUUAUAAUACAUAAAAUAAUUCAUAUUAAUCUCAAAAAUUUGAUUAUAUUGUCAUAUUUUCUAAACAACCAAUCGUAAUUAGUCAUCAUUAAUUAACAUUAAUUGGGAUAACAAUAUUUGAAUUGUCGGUAACAGUUAGGGUUGGUUACUACUCUUUAUUAGGGAUAACAAUAGCCCACAUUGAAAGUUGAGUAAAAUCUUAAAUGCUAUAUAUAAGAUAUGGACAUCUCCACUCAUACUCAAUUGGUUUUGAGUUCGAAGCCCAAAGUCUAAUAUGGUAUCAGAGCCCGAUCCGCAAAUGCUCAACCCAAUCCACAUCGGCCUAACCAAGUAAUUGGUCCGCCUAUCCAUGCCCGAACAUACCGAGAUCAAUGGGUAAAAGAGCCAUCAUCUCGAGCGGGCGUAUAAGGGAUAACAAUAUCCCACACUGGAAGUUGAGUAGAAUCUUAAGUGGUAUAUAUAAGAUAUGGGGCUCUUCACUCAUAGCCAAUGGGUUUUGAGUUGGAAGCCCACAGUCUAAUACUCUUAAUGGUACAUAUUAUAUUUUUUCCAUCGCUUUUGCCACUUGAAACAAUAUUUGGACUUCUAUUUUUUUUUUCCUCUCAUACUCACAAUUUAAUAUAUUUAUCUUUGCUUUUGUCGCUAAUAAGUCAUAACCAUGCUUUUAUGCUAAAAUGUUAAUAUAUAUAUUAUGAUUUUUUUUUUAUUCUCAUCAUUGAUUGUUACGAACGUUUUUUUUGUGUGUGUAUGAUUCACUCGACAUUACAUCCACACCUAAUGGAUCUAACUUUCCUCCUUCCGAGACGCUAUAUCCCAUAGAGAUUAACAACUUUAUUACUUGCAUGUCUGCACCACCACCUAACAUAUUAUGCUUCUGUUUGUUAGAUUGUUUGUCAUUUGAGACUGUAAGUAGUUUUUAUUGUUUUGGUGAGAGUAGAACCGAAAGAGUCCAGCUAAGUUUGUGAAUGGUAGAUGUGCUAAUGGAAUAGAGAAUGAAAUAAAGGAAAGGAGUGCUUGCAAAAAGAUAGAAAGAGUGAUACCUCUCCGGAAAAAAAUUGUGAACACGAAAAUUCAUAUACAUAUUGAAAAGAAUGUAAAAAAAUAUGAAUUGUUAAAAAUAAAUUAUAGAUAAGCUUAUGAGUACAGUUCUGUAUAGAAUCUUAUAUUUAGAAGAGCUACACUAACCAAUACAAUGAAGAUAGACGAAGAACAAUAUUGAAUUUGCGUAUACCAAAAUGAGAAAGCCGUCGAAGUUAGUCCCCAUACAAUAAUAAAUCUAGAAAAGUGGUGGUUGCGGUGAGAGUUGAGGAACAUACAUGUAAGACCGUGCAAGGAAGCUCUCUUGGGAAAAGUGUCUAAGCCAAUAUUGUGAAAGAUGUCUAUGGCUAAUGAGGUAACUUAUUGCGUGGUUCUUUUUUGAAACUUAGGUUGUAUAUUUUUUCAGUUGGAUGAUAUCUAACCAAGAAAAAGUAUGAAGACUUGUGUUGAAAUUAUGGAAAAAGUUUUUCUUCUUAGAGUACCAAUUUCAAUCAAAACAUGAAUUAGGAAGACGUAACAAAAGUAAUAAAUUUAAUUGAUGAGAUCAGUUUCCUUGCAUUAUGAACAAUUAACGUCAGAAUUUAGGUAAUAAGGGUUGAUUUCCAUGUAAAAAAAUAAAAGAGAAAGAGAGAAAUGCGGUUGACACCAUAAGACAAACUUGGAUUAUCAAAUAUGGAAAGAAAGUGAGAAAACAGUUAUGACAUGACCUCUUUAUGGCAACAUUUUGUUUAUAUGUAGCUGAAACUUGAUGGCGAGGUUUCUCACUGUGUUGGGAUGAGCCAUUUUUAUAUAAGAGAUGCUCUGAUGAUCUUUUUAGGAUGAAUGAGGUAAUUGUUAAAAUAUUAUAAUUGCUUUACUAAUAGCAAAAUCUUGAAUAAUAUAAAACAAGUAAGAGAUAAUGACACAUCAUAUUUGUAAUAUAUUUUAUACCAAAUUUUAUCCCAUAAAACUUUUUUGCUUAUUAAAACAAAAUUUUAAAUAACGUAAAUGAUACUAAAAAUAUAAAUAAGAACAUUUAUGUUAAAAAAAGAAUAAAUAAUAAAUAUUGUAGUAUUCUUUUAUUAGUAAUGUCAAUGUAUAUAUAGCUACUUAAAUAAAUACUAAAACCAAAAAUAUAUUAAAUCAAUCGAUAACAACAAACCCCCGCUUAAUCCCUAGUAGAAAUAAAAGAAAAUCAAUGAAGUGUGUUUGAUUUUCCUAAACAAAGAAACGAAGCUUAAAAACUUUUUUUUUUUUUUCAAACGCGGAAGCUAAUGUAAAAGAACUAUAACCCACAUGAAUAUGAUCAAAGCUCUGAUACAAUGAUAAGUUUGGAGGAAACCUUAGUAGUAAAAUAGUUUCUCUCUCAAUUUUAUUCAUUAGCCAAUAGGCUUAUUUAUACAAAUAUCAUAACUUAAUUAGCAAGUUCUUUACAUAUAUGAUAAUAGAAAAUCUACUAAUUUAAUAAUAAGAAUAUAUUAUAUAAAUGUUAACUUUCCUUUCAAGUCGAUCUCGUAAUCCCCGAGAUCUCCUAACACGUUCCGACAAUAAAUUAACUUCUUUAAAUCAUCAGUGAUAUUUAGGAAGAGUCUAUCUUGUUAAAUUAUUUAGGAAGAGUUUACCUUGUUAAACAAUUUUUUUUUUUUUUGUGACAGAUCUUUCGCAACACAAAGGAGGGCGAAGGACGAUUUUGAAAAUGUCAAAGAGAUUUCAAAAGUCCAGCAAUUGAUCCCUAUGCAUCGUGGAAGAGAAUCCGAAAUCAACUUGAUUCUUAGCUCUGUACUCUCAAGAUUUGGAUUUUUCUCUCUCAAUGCUUAUUCUCUCUCUUUAGAUACAAAUUGAACUGAUAAGGAGAGAAGAACAUAAAUAAACAUCAAAGUAAGUUAGUCAUAUGUUCGUUUGUACAUAUGGAUACAUCAUCUAGAUGAUCAAGUCAGAUGAUUCAUCUGGAUGCAGAUGAUAGAUGAUGUUCGUUUUUGAUAAUUUUAGGGAGCAAUUAGAUGGAGUUGGGUGAAUUUUAUAAAACUCAUCUUGAAAAUGUGUUAAAUCCGGCUGAGUCGGCUAAAGGAAGUUCAGCCAAAACUAAAAAAUAUCUAAAAUACCCUUGCUUAAUUUAAAGAAUUACAACAAACCUUAUCUUCUUCAUCCUCUCUGAUUAUAUUUAAAGAAUUACAACAAAAACUUAUGUAUGUUCAAUUAUGUUUUACGAUAUUUAGCUCUAGCUACGUGAGCCCGCAUCUUGUUUGUUAUUGUUCUAAAAUCACUAGAUUUUAACCCGCGGUACACCGCGGGAUGAUUUAAUUUUAAAGUUAGUAUAAAAAUAUUUUGUAAAUUGUAUCUCCUUAUAACAUAUAUUUAUAUUAUAGUUUACAAUUGUUAUUAAUAAACUGAGGAUUUAACCCGUAUUAAAGCGGUAUAUAAAUAUUGAUUCAAAUUCGUCCGCCAUAUAAAUCAUUUUCGAAAUAUAACCCAUUCCGUAAUUUCUUAACCCGUUCUGUGAUUUGUAUUAAAAAAAAUAAGGAUUAAAUCCGUAUUGAAGCGGCGGAUUAAUGAUAUUUUAAUCUUUUUAUUAUUGUUGAUUCAAAAACCCGUCCCGCCAAACCCAUCCCGCCAAAAAACUCAUUUAUUUUAUUAAUGUUCUUAUUUAUGAUAUGAUUCUGAAUCAUUGUCUAAAUAUUUUAAUCGAUAUAGAACGUUGAACACACAUUUUCGUCAAUUAGAUAAUAUAUGUCCGUUUUUAAAAUUUCGAAUCACAGUAUAUGUAGAAAAAAAUUGAUUUUUUUUUUUACUUUUUGUAUUAUAUGAUGAUUCAAAACAGUUAAAAACAAAUCAAACAAAGAUGAUAGGAGAAUCAUAAUUAUAAAUCUUAAUCAAAUCUUCUAAAAAUCUAAAUUAUUAAAUAUGGAAUAUCCGGUGUAUGAGUUGGGUUAAAUAUAACCCGACCCAACAAAUUUUUUGUGAAAGAAUUUUUAAAAUGGAUCGGAUAUCCGAUAUACCCGAAAGCUUUUUUACCCACCCGUCACAAAAAGUGCUGCGAUUAUACUAGUAUAGAUAUAUAUGAAAGUUGGUAAACUCUCUCCAUCCUUUUGCCACGUCGGCAAUGGAGAGAGUGUCACAUGUCAUAUCAGCAUAUUAUAUUUAUUAUUUAAAAUUAUUUAGUUAAGAAUUUAAAUCAUGCAUUAAUUCUUACUUAUAUAAAAAUUGACAUAUAUUAACUUAUUAACCAAGUAAUUUCAAUUUAAUUAGUUACAAAAGUAUAUUAAAAUCAUAUAGAAAUUAAAUUAUUUAAAAUUUUCUGUAUAAAUUGUAUAAACUUAUGCAUAAACAUAAAAUCAAUGGAAUUUUAAUUAAACUUUAGAUUUUAUUAACGUAUAAAACUUAAAUAAUAUGAUAUUAGAAUUUCUUUCAUGUUUUCAUAUACUAAAAUAUACUCCCUCCGUUUCAAAAUAUAAGGCAUUUUAGCUAAAAGCACGCCGAUUAAGAAGAUCUAUUUUCUAAGUUUAGCCAGUCAUAAAAGAGACUGCAUAAUAGAAGUAAUCAUAAAAUAUUAAAGUAAUAUAUAAUUUACAUAGAAACUUGAAAACGACUUAUAUUGUUUAACAAAAAAGUUUAUCCAAAAUGCCUUAUAUUUUGAAACGGAGGGAGUAUAUAGGAUUAGUGACAAUGAAUAUUAGUUGAAUUUAUGGUUUAUUUUAAGGUAAAUAUAAGAUACUAAAUAAAUACUACUUUUUCGUUUAUAUAAAACUAGAUAAGGCCCGCGUAAAUACGCGGGUUAGAAAAUAAAAUAAAUAUAAUUUUUAUCGAUAAUAUAUAAAAUCUAAGUAAUAACCUAUAUAAUUUUUUGAUCUUAUAUAUGGUAAUUUUUUUAAAUCAGAUUUGAACCUCACAUAUUCUUUUCCAAUACAAUUUAACUAUCUAUACCAUCAUAAUAAACCAUAAUUUAAUAUUUAUGCACUUAAUGAAUUAGAGCUAAAAAAUUAUAUCAAACACAAUUUAUACAUAAUAUCAAAUUUAUAUCUUUUUUUGACAUCAAAUCUAUAUCUUAGUUAGAAUAAAAAUAAUUUAGAAAUUAACAAAACAAAAUUAUUAGAAAAUUAAAAUAUAAUUCACAAAGAAAAUUGGAAAUCCAACAAUUAUCUUUUCUUCGUUUUAAUUUGAUAAUUAAAAAAAUAUUUAUUUACCUUUUUUAAAUCUAAGUAUAUAUUUUAGAUUUGGAAUUUUUCAUAUUUAUGUUAACAUAAUGUCAAAAUCUAAUUGGUUGUAAUUUUUUACACUUGUCAAAAUCUUAUUGAAAUACUUGCAACAUGUCGCGAUCUUAUGAGUUAUUAACUUUGAAAACCAUAUUUUAUAUAAUAAGAUUACUUUUAAGAUAACAAAAUAUAUAUUAAAUUUGCUUUUAAGGUAAGUAAUUGUAAAUAAGUGUUAAACAAUGUAAUUAAAAAACAAAAAAAUAGAAUUAAUUAUUUACUCGAGAGUUAGAGGAAUACAUCAAAAUGAUUAUUAGCAAAAUAAUACCAAAAGGACUAUUUAUCAAAUUAACUCAAUCAAUGUAAAUUGCUAUGACUGACAAAUUAUGCAUAGAAAAACCCGCACGUUGUGCAGGUAUUAGCUAGUCUAAAUUAAUUGUCGUUUCCUUAUUCUCAUGCUCUUGUGUGUUGGAAACCUUUAACCCCACUUGAAGCUAAAGUCUCAAGCUUUAAUUACCUUUUAUUCCAUGUGGAUUUAAUGUUUUCCUCAAAAAAUAUCUCAUCUUUUUUCCAAUCCCAAAGAGGGACAGUGCUCUAUGCCUCUAACUAUCUACAUCUAUACAUCGUAUUAUUUGGUUUAGCCUUUAUUCGCAACGAACAACACUUUACUUGGUUUAAAACCGAGUAAGAACUUCUCAUGCACAUACUUAACAUUGAUACCAAAAAAAAAAACUUCCGAUGCAUGCUAAAACCAUUAGUCUUCUUCCUUAACUCCUCAAGGUGAAACCUCUCGAUGAGCUAGAGUCUUUAAUAUAGAUAUAUUGUAGCCUUGUAGGACACUUAUUCUUCACAAAUGUUUUUAAAUUUGUUGUAACAAAGUAGUACGACUCGAUUAAUUAAUAACAUAAUUAAGUGAUCGUAAAUUCAUCACAAAAUUAUUUUUCGUCGAUUUCCAAAUUUAAAAACACGAAUCCUUUUUUAAAGACAUAUAUAGUUUUAUUUAGAAUUAGAUCAAGGUAAAAGCAAUGACUAAAAUCAUGCCAUGUUAUGAUAAGCGGAUAAUACAAGAUCCUUAUUUAGCUGAAGGUACAUAAAAUGAAAGCAAUUCAAUGCUUAAUAUUAUUAUUUUUUGAACUUAGUCUGUAGUUCCAUGACAGUCGUAGCGUCCAACUGGAACGCCGUUGCAAGAACAUUCGGGUCUAUUGGUGGGUUAGACCCAAACACGGUGUCGGCUAUAGUGAUGACCCCUGGGUUUUGGCUGCUCAGACCAGCGAAUGCAACCGCGGGAUAUUUCCCAACGUUCGCUUGGAAAUGAAUGAGUCCCUCUGGAAACACGAAUACAUCACCCUCGUAGAGUACUUUAGUAAAGAGCCGAUUGUCUGUGUUUGACGUGACAAACCCAACUAAAAGUGUUCCAUACGCGACAUACAAGAUCUCGGAGGCACGUGGAUGGGUGUGAGGUGGGUUCUGUCCGUUUAUUGCAUAAUCAAUACGGACAAUGGAGAUUCCAAGGGUGUUUAACCCUGGAAUCUGGUUAACAUUGACGGGUGUCACAAUAGACCCAGUUUUUGGAUUAGGUGUUCUUGGUUUGUUAAUCCCUGAGAUAAAGAAGUCAUCUACUGUGACGAGCUUCGGGUCCUUGCAGAACUUUCCGUUCACAAAUACUAAAAAUUAUACCCAAAUAAAAAAGAUUGUUAGACCAUCUCCAUCCAUUAGACACUGUGUGGGUGUCUCAAAAAUAUUAUUUUAAUCAUUUUAUAAUAAAUAAGUUAUUUAUUUAAAUUAUAAAAAGAGAAUUUGGCCAAUAAUAAAAAGACAAGUGGAGACACAGAUUCUCAAAGUUUCUCAAAACAGAAACGUGUCUACAUUUUCUCCUACAUUUUUAUUAUUUUUUAUUUUUUUAAUCUUGAGACAUUCCUCAAGACACUACUGUUGGAGAUGCUCUUAGAACGUAAUGUUUUCUCCUAUAUCGGUUAUAUGUAUUAAAAAGUACAUUAAUAGUUAUGUUAAUCUAAAGACUUUCUACUCUUUUUGUGUUGGGUUGUUGAACCAUAUAUAUAUAAGGAGUCUAGGGUUUGUAAAGUUUAUUAUCAUAUUAAUAAAAGAAACCUUAGACAAAAUGUAUUCGCUUCAAGAUAUUUAACGUUUUCUCUAUUAUUUACCCGAAAUCACACAAGUUAAAAAUGAUUAGGGAGUGAACAUAUACAUACCGCCAUAAGCUGGGGUGUCCACCCCGACGCAGAAGUCCUGAAGAGGGCUUGGGUCUGAAGCCUUGGUUAAUGAAAGUGUUAUAGCCAAGAGAGAUAGAAUUGCAAGAAAUGAGAGACUUUUCAUGGUUAUAUAUUAGUUGAAGCAAUUCUUCGAAGAGAGGAAAGGUUUUUGUUUAGGAUUUAAUGGAGAGUUGAUAAACUUAUGAGACAUAGAUCUCAAUUUAUAUACAAGUUUAGGAGUAGAACUAGUCCGUAUAAAUGAUGAAAUUGAUGUUCGAAAUGGGUAAAAAAUUAUCUAAAUUGUGUUCCCUCCACAAACUAUGUUUAUGGUGAUAAUAUUUAAAUUGAAACACGUAAGAUUGGAAUAAAAAAUAUAUAUAUAUCAAUGAAAUAUGAUGCAUUUGAAGUUUGAAAUGGCAAGUGUUGGUGAUUAACAAGUUAUACAUAUCAAAGUUUUGUUUAAUAAUUCUUCGUCAACUUGUUAUGAAUUACACUUGUUCACUUUAAUAAUCUUUAAAGGUGUUGUCAGCGCCAUGCUCGGGAGGGGAGAAAUGGCGUUUUUCAACCCGAACAAAUUGUAAAAUGCGUUUUUAUACCUCAACAAAGAUACAAUGUUUUUUUCAACCUCAACUCUAAAAACAUUCAAAACAACUACCCAAACUAUUAGAUUUUAGCGUAAAACUACAUUGACUUAUACAAAAUUAGUCAACUCAUUAUUUUCGCUCAUUUAGAUGACACGAUGACGACGAUGUAUCAUUUUAUCUUAACUAAAUGACGUUAUUUUAAUCAUUUGAAUCCAUAAACUCAACCAAACAACGUUGAUUUGGUCAUUUGAGUCUAUAAACUCAAUAAAGCGACGUUGUUUAGUUAAGACAAAAUAAUAGUACUGAUAAAGAUAAAAUAACACUUCGUUGUCAUCGUGUUGAGUUUAUGGAUUCAAAUGACCAAAAAAAUGUUACACUUCGUCACUAUUGUGUCGUUUAAGUGAGCAAAAACAAACGGUUGACUAAUUUUGUUUAAGUCAAUGUAGUUUUACGUUAAAAUCUAUAGUUUGGGUAGUAUUUUUGAAUUUUUGUAGAGUCGAGGUUGAAAAAAGCAAUGUAUCUUUUUGAGGUAUAAAAAUGCACUUUGUAAUUUGUUCAGGUUGAAAAAUGCCCUCCGAGCGGUUGUUUUACUUAAUAUUGUUGUGGUCAGUUAUUUGAGCAAUGAACAAACAUAAGAAAAAUAAUAAUAUCAAAGAAAAAAGCAAACAUAAAAUUAAACUAAGCAAACAAGAUUUAAAAUAUAAAAUUAUUUUUUUUAUUGAAUAACGUAAAAGGGUGGAAGCAUCCGUGAUCCAUUGGUCAUGUGUUUAAAAGGCUUCUACACCAGGUGUACGAUUUGAAUCCCAGAUAACGCAAUUUCUUACAAAUUAUUGGUACAAAAUUUAUCAGAGGUUCCAGAAUACAUUGUAGGCAGAGUCAUAUGUAGAAUGGUAUGUCGUGGAUCGGAGUAUUGCAGGGAGAGUUGUGUCGUUGAAUCGAUAUUCAUGGAAACUGUUAAUCGUUAUCGCAUAUUUGGCUGGUAGUCUAAAUAAUUUUGGCUAGUGAAUUUCAGGAAAAUUUUGGAGUCCCUACUUACAUCAUAAUAAGAUUAGAUCAAAUAUUUUUUUAUGAUGAUGUCACGUAUAGCAAAAAAAAAAGAAUAACGGAUAUACACUUCAAUUAAGGCUUUGUCAAAGAUUCUUACAGAACAUCAAACAAACAUUGCUCACCCCUAAGCAAGUGUACAUUAAGUGUUGCCAAACAUAAACCAAAUUGUAAACGUGAUUGCUCACCGCUAAGCAAGUACGUACACAUUAGUUGUUGGUUUUGUUGAAUUAAUCUUCGGUCAACUUGUCAUUUAUCACACUUGCUGCUAUUCAUUGACUUGAACAAAAGGUCAAUGUGAAUUUGUUGAGAUAUAAUAAAAUGUAUAAAUAAAUAAAAAGUUUUGUUUGAUUGUUUCUGUACUUGAUAAAACACGUACGACUAUGAGUCUAAAUAGUAACAUCAAAAAAAUAUUCAGCUGGAUUCAGUCCGAUUCAGCAAUUCCGCAGUCACCAUUUGCAUAAAACUAAAUUCAGCUGAAUUCAGCCAGAUUCAACAGUUUUUUUUUAAUACUAACAGAUAUGUAGAUACAGUCAUUUCUGGUAAAAAUUUGGAUAAUAACGUGUACACACAUCGAAUUGAUAUAUUUUGGAUUAUCAAAAAUUACACAUCAAAUUUAUAUUUUAAAAUAAAUCAGAUUAUACAGAUGCGAUAUAUGAAUAAUUCAAAUACAUAAAACCACUAAUAAAAUAGGCAAGAAGCGAAUUCAUGUUCGGAUAACUAUAGAUGAUUUUGGAUAAUUUUAUUAAUUUUUAGAUAAUUUAAAAUAAUUUAAAAAUUUCAUAAAAACAACUCACACCUAUGCUAAAAUAUUAUUUAAAAUAGAUUUUUUAAUAAUUUUCUUAAUUUUUCAGGUCAUAUUAUUGAUUAAACUACUAGAUAACAAUUAAAAAAAAAACUCAAUUAUAUAAUCUUAUUAUAUUAUCAUGUUAAUUUUUUAAAUUAAUCUUCCAAUAAUGCUUUGACAAAGCUUCUUUCAUUAAUUAUUUACAUAUAUUUAAGGGAAAUUGUUAAAAAUACCCCUUUUGGUGUGCCCCUUUUCAAAAAUGUCCCUUUUAGAUGUCCAUUUUCAAAAAUGCCCCUUUUUAAAUCUGAAAUUUUUAUAAAGUUUUAUUAGGUUUAUAAGGUACUUAUGGUUUGUAACUACUACUUGAAGACUCGAUCCAAGUAUUUAUAAGGUUUUAUAAGGUGUUUUAAAAAGUUUUACAAGUUAUUUUAAAGGAUUUUUAAGGUUUUUCAAAGGUUUUACAAGAUAUUUUAAAGGUUUUUAAAGGUAUUUAAAAUGCAUUUAUAAGGUAUUUAUAAAGUAUUUAUAAGAUUUUAGAUACAUAGAAAUGUAGUUUGUGUAUGUUUUAAUAAUAUUACAUACAUAUUUGGGUAAAUCUUAUAUUUUUAAGAGCAUUUUUUAUAAGGUUUUAAAAAAGGGGUAUUUUUUAAAAAGUGGCAUUUUUGCAAAAGCUCCUAUUUUUAAUAGUUCAAAAAUUAUUUAUAUUUGUAAUAAGUUUAGAUAAUUUAGUAUUUAUUUAUUAGUAUAACAAUUAAUUAGACCAUUUGAUGAUUUUAUUUAUUUUAUUUAGAUAUCUUCUUUGGUACUCUAUUAAUAUUCAUAAUUAUUUGAUGAUAUUUUUUCAGUUAAAGUCUUAAUUAUUUUGACAGAUGGUACCUAAAAUCACAAAAUAAUUCAGCUAGAUUCAGCAGUUACCAUUUAGAAAUGUAAAAAUACAGCUAGAUUCAGCUGAAAAUCACUAAAAAUUCAGCCAGAUUCAGUAAUUCAGCUGAAUUCAGCCAGAUUCCUCGAUUACCAUUUAGACCCUAUAUCAACCAACUUAUAAAAAAACCUAAAUUGAUUUUCUAUAGUUGAAUCCAUGAAGAGCCGGUCCACAAUGAAACACUUAUAACAAUGGUUCAACUGCCAAGCGGAUGUAAGAUUAAGAUCCAUCGAUUUAAUAAGUUUCUAUAGAGGUCAUUGAUAUAUAGUAUUUUCUACUUUUCUUAAGUUUUCCUAGUCUCCUAGAGGUCACUACAUAUAUUUUUUUUUGUGCGUAUAGUGUAACACAAUUGAAUUUGAAGUUAGAUUAUGACUCAACAACAACAUUGAUACAUAUAUACUAUUCAGCCACAUGACCUUGUCAUACAUUUUUUGUGUUAUAUAUUCUUAAUGUUGUCGACUAAUGUUGCUAUAUAAUUUUCUAAUAUGCUAUAUAUUUGUACGGCAUCUAUUAAUCAAAAGUUAACGAGAUUAAUUAAGCAAACACAAAAUAGGAAAACGCAUCAAAAACAUAUGAGAGAUCAUAUUUGAAUAUCAUAAUGAUGAUACUCAUGGGCAUAGUCAAUUUACAUUGUAGAAACUAGAAAGCUAGACUUGUCUUCUUUAUCAUCAAAAAGAAAGACUUGUCUUCUUUAUCAUCAAAAAGAAAGACUUGUCUUCUUUAAAGAGUACUUGGCCAAAUUACAUUGUUAAAAGACUUGUCCAAAAUGAAAAAAGAGAAUGUAAUUGAUAAGUUAAAAGAGAUAACAAUCCAGCUAAUUCUGGCUAAAACAUUAUCAUUACAACUAUAUGUCUAUACUACUUACUUCAUGACUUCAUGACAAAAAAAAAAAAAAAAAAAAAAAAAAAAAAAAGAUAAUGGCCCAUGCAGGUUUCGAACCUGCGACCUUCGCGUUAUUAGCACGACGCUCUAACCAACUGAGCUAACGGGCCAUUUGUUAGAGAGCUAAAAUCAUUUUAACUAAAUUUUAAAUCAUCAUUUUUAUGCAGAUUAUUAGUCAAAAAAAGAUGCAAGAAAUGUUGAAAUUAUUUUUCAUACGGGUUAUUAGUCAAAGUAUAUGCAAGAAAAAUGUGGAAAAGUUUGGGAUAUAUCAUCAUGCAUGGUUGGUGAUUAUAUGAGUAUCUUUUGACUUCUCUCUCCAUUAGAGGAUUCACGAUCUUCUUCCUCCAUUCUUUUUCCAGGUAAACCAAGAACACAAUUUAGAUCAUAUACAUAUGCUUAGAUUUGUACAAUUAGGACAUGUAUAUAUUGUUCUUCUAAUAUUAGAGUUUUUAUCUAAACAAACUAGAAAUUAAAGCUCAUUUCUUGGAGAAUUUUGAAGAGCUGAAUUUUUCAAUUUCUUGUUUGAUUAAAGAUUUGACAGAACUACAAAAUAGGGUGGAUUUGAGAAAGUUUGAUGUUGCAGAUUAAUCAAAUUCAUAAGUUUUUGUCUACGUGUCCAAAAAUCCUGGAGAGUCCAAUCUUAAGAGUUUUCAGAGGCGAGUUUUGAGAUGUUCCUUUUGAUGUGAACAAUUAUGUUAUUUGAACACUUUGAACCACCUGAUAUUGGAGAUCAUGUUUUUGUUCAGUUUCUGAGUGUAAUGAAUUCUUGAAUUGUCAAAUUUGAUUUCCAAUCUAGGAGUUCCUUUUGUUGUCUUAAAUUGAAGAUCAAGUAUGUCUUGUUUUUGUUCAUUUUAUGAGUUUAAUGAAUUCUUUAAUUUGAUUUCUGAGUUGUGACUGAAAUUGGUUAGGAACACUCAUAAUGGCUGAAUCUGCAAGCAACACCGGUUCAAGAAAGCUUAUUCAGAUUGAUGUGAGCUCGGAUUCGGUGUGUCCAUGGUGCUUUGUGGGCAAGAAGAAUCUUGACAAAGCCAUUGAAGCAUCUAAAGAUCAAUACAACUUUGAGGUUACCUCUCUCACUCUCUUUUCUUUUGUUUAUUUGGAGAAUGAUUAAGAUGCUUACGGUAUUCAUCUCUCAAAUAGAUUCGAUGGCGUCCGUUUUUCCUUGAUCCAUCUGCACCAAAAGACGGUGUGAGUAAGAAAGAGUUUUAUCGACAGAAAUAUGGAAACAGAUACGAAGGAAUGUUCGCCAGAAUGUCCGAGGUUUAACACAUAACGAUUCUUUAACAUAGCUUAUAUGUUCUUGUUGAGAGGAUCUUGAAAUGAUCUUUUGAUUCAUUACAGAUCUUUAAAGGUCUUGGAUUAGAGUUUGACACAGCCGGUCUCACGUAAGCACCAAGAGUUUUCUUUUAUCAAUCAAGAAGAGUGAUUUCUUUUGUCUUUUUUUUCUUUCUUCUAAAUGUUUUGUUGAUAAGAACAGAGGCAACAGUCUGGAUAGUCAUAGACUUAUACAUUACACCGGUAAACAAGCGCCGGACAAACAACAUAAACUUGUUGAGGAAUUGUUUAUCGGUUACUUCACGCAGGGAAAGUUCAUCGGUGACAGGUAUUUAUCACAAAACUCUUGUCCUCAGAAUAUGUGAAACGGUUUAUUUUUUGUGAUAGAUUAGCUUUACACAUCCUUAGAUGUUAAACUGGACAUAAAAACUCGUUAACCUUGCGGAUGAUUUCAGGGAGUUUUUGGUAGAGACGGCUAAAAAGGUUGGGAUAGAAGGAGCAGAAGAAUUCCUCUCAGACCCCAACAAUGGACUCACAGAGGUGUGUUUUCUGAAUCAUGUGAUCAUUAGAGUUAUUUUCUAUAGUAUAAUGUUGAUUGAUCUGUUUUGAACUUUUAUAUAAUGAAAGGUGAAAGAAGAACUGGCAAAGUAUUCUCGAAAUAUCACCGGAGUUCCAAAUUACACUGUAAGUUUUCGCGCUACAGAUCGAUCUCGUUUGCUAAUUUUAAUGUGUCCUUAUUCUUCAAGUCUUAUAUCCAUACUUUGUGUUGUUUGGUCAGAUCAAUGGGAAGGUGAAACUAAGCGGCGCACAACCGCCCGAAACAUUCCAGAGUGCGUUUAAAGCGGCCUCAGCUUGAAACACAAACAGUGAACUCAAGAGCUGUUGAAGUUUUACAUCUAUGGAGAUAGUCUGUUUCUGUUGUUUGAACUUUAAGUUAUUGACUUUUCAAGAAGUUGGUGUAAUAAAUUACUAAAACAGAUUUGUUCUGUGAUGGUUUGUCUAAAUAAUUCAGAGAAGUUGAUUUCAAACAUUCUUCUUCUUCUUCUUGCUCUGAUCUCAAAGCAAUGUUCUAGAUAACAAAUUCUUGAAAGAUUCAAACUAUUUUUCCUUCCAAUCAUUGUCUUGCUUAUACAUGUAUAUAGAGAUAUAUGAGUCUAUAACAUUAAGAGACAUCACAUAUUUACUGUUAAAAGGCAUCUGGAUAUUCACAGAAGUUUUAUGUACAAGUGAUUUCUCUCUGUUUAUUCUAUUGAGCAGGACUCAACUCCUUUAUGUUCUUUGAGCAAGUCUUUAUUACAAUGCUAAGAAGUUUCAUUUUCAUCAAAUGCCAUCACCUGAAAGAUUAGAUUGAAGAAAUUAGGUCAUGGUUCUCUUAUAUGACCAAGAAUAGUAUGAGAAAUGGACCACUCUAUUCAUGUAUGUAAUAAAUGUAAAUGCUUAAAAUGGAGAUAACAAUUUCUUAUACAAAUUGAUGCACUUUGAAUAUCUAUGAAGGAGAUUGAUGGAACAUUCGACCAAAACUGGGUUUUAAAGUUUUGUAGAAAGCGACGAGUUACCUUUCCACAGACGGGGCAAGUUUCACUUCUCUCCAUCCAUUCAUAAAUACAGCUAAGGUGGAAAUGGUGAGAACACUUGGUGAUUAUCUUUGGAUUCUCCGGAGUGUAAUCUGCACAUUGUAAAACAAAGAAUACUGAAACCAAAAUUACCUUAAAGCACUCACAAAACGAUUGCUUUAUCUACGUAGUUUCAUUCUACGAAAAAUUUGAUGUAAACUAUCCUAAAGAACUAAAGACUAUUAGUGGCCUAAUUGCUCAGGACUGCAUUAAAUGAAGAAAUGAAACCAAUAAAGCAGAGAAAGCAACUUAUAAAGAUCUACUAACAACCUAACACACUCUUUAUCACGCGGUAAUAAGCCAAAAAACCCUGCAUAUAGUGGGUUCAAAGAGAAUUUUACCAUCAAGGCAGGUUGGACAAAUAUCUUCAUCAUCUGAUUCUGCAUAAUGAAUUUCUAUCCCGGGCAUUGUUUUCGACUUUGCAAUGGUUGAUGAACCUUUUGAAUACACUUCUUUCGAACCAUCAUCAGAAUCAGACUUACUCCAUUUGGUUCCACCACCACCCAAAGAUUCAGAACUCAUUUCAGUAUCACCUCUUAAAGGUUCCGAUUCUUCACCUGAGUGGCCUGAGCCCUUAACAAAACGAAAGUACCUAGGAUCAGCAUCGUAAGGCAACGGUGUUGGAGGAGAAUGAUACACACUAGAUAGAGAGUCAUCGAGUGCAGUUGUUGAAUUCAUCACUGUAGCAGUCUCAACAGUUGAAGGUAUUGGAUGCAUUCCCCCUCUAUUAAACAAGGACGCAUACUGCAAAAAAGGUAGAACGUAAGUUUCAACAAAACCGAAAACCGUAUCAUUGGUAAUCCACUACAAAGGAGCACAAGAUUCGAAGACGAAGGUGAAGAGGAAGAUACCAAAUCCACGAAACUCUGGAGGAAGCAAUUUACGCAAGGACAGUUCCCAGUCAUUGAAGUGUUUGGAUUGACAUAACUCUCAAAGAGAUCAACUUGAAAGCAACAACAGAAAGCACCCAUAUCUUCAAAAUCAAAACUUCAAACCUCAAGUUAUCAAAUUUCGAAGAGAAUGAGAGAGGAAGCCAAUUUCACAGAAGAGUUUCACUAGCUCCCGUAAACCAGAAUCCUCUCUCUUCUUGGUGUAAAGUAAAACUCUUGUUCCUACUCAGUUGAACUACCUGUAAGAGAAACAGAUAAAAAUUUUACAUUUCAAAAACCAAAUGAAUCACUAGAAGAAAUUAGCUAAUACACAUCACAAAACAAUGCAACAAAAUGAUUCCAAAACCUCAAAAAAAAAAACUCAGCUUUUUACAAGAAUCAUUGUUUAAUGUACAAGCAAAAGCAUAAACCUUUCAGAUAAAAACCAUCAAUCCGAUGAAACCCACAAAACCAAAACUUGAAGGAUCAUAAGUAAGCUCAUCGAUCAACAUGAAAUGAUCAGUAUCCAAAUCCUUUGAUCAUCAAAUAGAUUUUUUUUUAAAAAAAGAAGAAAAAACAGAGGAAUCGAUGAGUACCUUUGUGAUAGAGACCUGAGAAAAUCCAGAAGCAAGAGAAAAAAUCAAUGAGAAAAACCUGGAAUUUUCCGGUAUUAGAAUCUGUUGACUAAUUCUUAAUUGAAGAUUUUUGCAGGUUCGUCGAAAAAGUGCAAAAUAAUUUUCCAGAAUAAUAGCGAUCCUUUCUCUCUCGUCUUUGUCUUCUUCUACCUUUUGAUCCAUAUAGCCUUUUUGGUCGAAAUUUAACCAGGGGAAAACAGAAAGUUUCAGAAAUCGUCCCUCUAUUUUUACAUAUAUUAAGUUUCGACCCUAAACGUUUUGAUUUUAACUUUAAGCUAUUCUAUUCUUGUUUUGACCCAUACAUUUUUUAUACUCUGUUUAACUUUUUCAUCAGUUCCGGCUAGGCCUGGGCGUUCGGUUCCAUUCAGUUCUUCAAUUCUUCGGUUCGAGCUCCUUAGGAUCCAUAAGAGAACCGAAAAAGUUUCGGUUUGGUUCGGUUCGGUUUGGAUACUUAGAAGAGAACCGAUAAAUAACCAAACUCCAAUGGAUAUCAGUUCAGUUCCGGUUAUUUUACCCAAAAUAUAAAAAAAGAACCGAAAUACCUAAAUAUCCAGAACUUUUUUGACAAAAUUGUAAUGGGCCAAAAUAUCAAAAAAUUAACAAAAAUCUAAUGUGUCAGAGGUUGAGACAAAAUGUAUUGGGCUUCGAUGGAGGUUUAUACACAAUUGACCAAACAUUUUCGGUUUCUUUCGGGUACUCAUGGAUAGUGUGACUGAGAUCCAAUCGGGUAUUUAGUGGUAUCCAGAACCGAACUAGAACCUUUUUUCCAGUUCGGUUCAUCGGUUCCAGAUUUUAUGCCAAGGCCUAGUUCCGGCAAUGAAAAUAUUACCGUUCCACAUUGUUGGAGUUAUGGAUUUAUGUUCAAAUUCUAAAUCAUAUGUUUCUGUUACCAAAAAACAUAAACAUACAAAGUGUGGAUUUGAAAUAGUCAGUAACAACAAAAUGUCUUUUGAGUUUAAGAACUUGUGAGUAUCCUCUAAUUAAUAAUAGUAUCCUGAAUAUGCCCACUUUGACGAAGGAAUAAGGUCAAGUUGCUCUAAACUUAUCUCUACACUUGAUAACCAAACAACAGAAAAUUGUAACAAUCUCAAAAUUCUGUCUUGCUGCAGAGACCACACCUCAUUAUGUGAGAGAAGCCAAAGUGUUGUCUUGAAUUCAGUUACCCACCUUGGCAACUUUUCUCUGCUCUGUUUGGCCCGACAAUGGGCACUGCAUCUCUGUCCAACUUAUUGGAACCAUUGUUUCUCCUGCACAAUCACCAGACCACAUAAAAAUUUUGUUUACUCGAACGGAAAUACACUUCAUAACAUAUAACUGCCAGAAGAAGCAAUGCAUAUACACAUUAACAUACUCCAAUUCCAUGAUGAAAACGGUUGAUACUCAUGAUUGCCUAAUGAGAACUACAAGUUGGAAAUGUAUUACACUUUGAUAUGUGACAGAGCUAUAAACUUAAUAAUCUUGCCUUCAUUACCCUAUAUUCAGUUACCAAGAGCAAGAAAAAAAUGUACCUGCAGCACUUUCUGCUGAGACCACACCAAGUUCAUUCUUAGCAGUUGACAAAUAGUAAGCCCGUGCAUCACCAAGAGACAGCUUUAAGAGUCCAAGUUAAGGUAACUUCAGAUAUUAUCACCUAAAACAUCAUAUAUUACUAUAGACUACACCUACGCUACAUUCAAUUUAAACUAUAUAACAAGAGAUAUGUAAGUAAAAAGAGAAAAUGAAUGGCAUAAUGUAACAAAUCUUAGAAAAGUCUUUCCUCUGUAAGCAAUGUUAAGCACUGUAAAAGAAAACCUAAGUGUGAAACAUAAGCGCAAGGAUACAACCAUAGCUCUAACAAUGUCACCAGCACGAAAAGACUGAUGCAUGUCAACUUUAUCAAUCUCUGUUGCUCUAACAUCUUGUUGCCUAUGAAAGAGCAAACACAAGUUAGCUCGACACAUAAAAGAACAAACCUUGAAAAUAAACGCGAAAGAAGGGUGAGAAAUUCACCUAAUUACGCCGGCAAAAUUUUCACGAACGGCCUUUGAACCAACACACAAGAUAUCAACAGCAGCCAUCCGAGCCAUAACUUUAGUCACCUAUCAAGAAUAACAGAUCAUAGUCAUCAAACUAAAGUCUUUCUUUCAAGUAUGAACAUCAAUGAAUCCAAUAAGUGCAGGACUCACUCUUGCUAUGACAACAGAACCAGGCUCUGGAAUAGGACCAUGUGCCUUGUGACCCGUAACUUCUACAACAGCUCUCUGCUCACCAUUGUUAUGAUUCAAUAAGUUAUCCAUAAUAAUCACAAAAUCAAUGAGCUAUGAACGAUUUACAAUUGCAAAUAGUAACCACAAAAUUCAACGACUUCUCGGAGAAAUUCAGCGAGCCCAAUCAAUGUAACAAAAGCCGAACCUGGUCAAGUGAUUCGGGAAGAGGAGAAACAAUCCGACGAGUUCCUGUGAGAGAAGCGUAGAUGGUGGUGUCGUUAACAUAAGCUCCUUUUCCGGCUUUAAACUCAGUCGCUUUCCCGAUUACAUCUCCCGGCGUUACUAGCUCCGUCGUCAUAUUUUCAAAAAUUUCCGAUUUGAGUGAGUCUCAAACAAAACCCUAGUAACCUGGGGGUUUUUGAUCGAGAAAGUUUCGGAAACCAUCCCUUUGAUUCUAUAGAAAUUCAAUUUCAACCCUAAAUGUUUGGUUAUAAUUUUAAAUUUUGACCCAUAAUGUUUUGAUAUUAACUAAUUCAACCUUGUUAGACUUAAAUACCCGAAUCUGACCCGGAUACACCUAAUACCCGAAUCCGACCCGGUUAUUACCCAGUUUCAACUCUCAACACUUGCAGAAAAACUCUCAAAAAUUCGAGUAAUUGAAAAUCCAAUAAACAAGCGGGACCUAAAUUUUGAAAUCUCUCUAUCCAGAUCCGUUUCUCCGUCACAGUUUAUCUCUCUCCGUCACCGGAACCGGCGAGAUUAGUCUUCGGGAUUCCCAGAUCUACUCGUCUACUUCUUCCUCCGUUCGCUGUGUUCAUCGGAUUAUUCAAUUCGCUCGAUAGUUGCUGCAUUUCGCGAAUUGAUUAGGUUAAAAGCGUCUAUGUACUCCUGUUUUCUCGCUCGAUUUGAGUAACCUAGGUAUUUCGCUACGUUUCUGUUCUGUUUGUUUUGGAUUUGAAGAAAAGAUGCGAAGUGUGAGUAGAAAAUUUGGAAGUUUCAUGAAGAUUUGAGGGAUUGAGUUAGGUAUUGUAGUUGUAGAGAGAAUGCAGAGUUUAUCGAACUCAGCUCCGACACCGGAGGCAAUAUUAGAAUGGUUACAGAAGGAAAUGGGGUAUAGGCAAUUAGGUCCGUAUAAUGGAUCAAGCAAAUCUCAUGUUCCUUCUAUUGAUGCUAUAAGGAAGAUUUGUAGAGGGAAUAUGAUACCUAUUUGGAAUUUUUUGAUAAACCGAGUGAAAUCGGAGAAGACAGUGGAGAGAAUUAGGCGGAACAUUACGGUUCAUGGAGGAAGUAGUAACGCUAGCAUUGGGAGUUCUGUGAAUCCUGGGAAGGAGGAGAGUAAGGGUAAAGGAAGACGGAAGGAAAAGACAGUGUCUGGGGAGAGUUCGAGUUAUGCAGAGGAUAGAGAGGCUGCAUUGCAGGAAAGGGAAUUAGCUGCAAAGGAAGUGGAGAGGUUGAGGAACAUAGUGAGGAGGCAAAGAAAAGAUUUGAAAGCUCGAAUGUUGGAGGUCUCUAGAGAAGAAGCAGAACGGAAGAGGAUGCUUGACGAAAGAGCAAAUUACAGGUAUGAUUUGAAUCUUAAUUUUGAACACAGUAUUUUAAUACAUUGCGCCUCAGUUGUAAAAGACUACUAUAGAAAAUAACUGCACCAGUCAGCUCAAGCUCAUUUAAUACUUUCUCAUGUUGUGGUUUUGCUUUACUAUCAUUAGUGUCAUGUCCUCAACUGAACCAUUCUAAGUACAUUCUUUAUGUGUACCAUGAUUAGCUGAUUAGAGUUUUGGUGGUAUUUCGAUUUCCUUCUCUGUGAUUUCAGGAGCCACAUAUAUAUAGCCUUGAAGUAUUCUUUUUUGCUAUUUUGAGUCUCCAAUGAUCUCGAUAUACCUCUAGAAGAAUAUGUAUAUGGGAUCUCGUCAGGCUAGUUUGUUGCUUUAGUUUCAUGGUUAUGCCACAUCAACCAUUCUUAAGUUUGUAUUUGUACUUGGCGAUAUUGAUGUUCUAUCCACCCCUUUCACGAAGAUCUAUCAACAGCAUUUAACUCUGUUGAAAUGCAUUGAUAUUGUUGAUACAAUUAAUGGAAAUCUUUGUUUCUGUUAUGUUCAGUAGAUCUUUCAAAUUGUUAAAUGAGUUUUUUUUUUUUUUUUCCUUUUUUCAGACACAAGCAAGCAUUGUUGGAAGCAUAUGAUCAACAAUGCGACGAAGCAACAAGAAUAUUUGCAGAGUAUCACAAAAGGCUACAAGUCUACGUUAAUCAAGCAAAUGAUGCACAGCGGUCUGUCAAUUCGUCGAAUGAAGUGUUAAGCAGCCUCAGUGCUAACAGUGAGAGGGAAGCUGUUUAUUCCACUGUCAAAGGAACUAAGUCUGCGGAUGAUGUUAUUCUCAUGGAAACAACCCGAGAACGAAAUAUCAGGAUAGUUUGUGAUUUACUUGCAUCACGCAUGAUUGAAAGAAUACGUAACUCCUUCCCUGCAUACGAAGGAAAUGGAAUUUGUUCACAUCCUGAGCUGGAAACAGCGAAGCUGGGUUUUGAAUAUGAUGGAGAAAUAACUGAUGAGAUGAAAACUGUUAUAGUAAAUUCCCUGAGGGGUCCUCCUCUGCUGCUUCAGGCUAUUGCUGCAUACACUUUACGCAUUAAGACCCUGAUAUCCAGAGAGAUGGAGAAGAUUGAUGUCAGAGCGGAUGCUGAAAUGUUAAGGUGUCUCCUGAAUUUCCUUCUUAUGCCUUUCUCUGUUAUUGUACAUUCCUGAUUCUGCGGGGUGUGGUUCACUCAAAUGCACCUUGCAUGCUAUUUUGCUAAUUUUCUUGACACUGAAGUGGAAGAUUAUGAAACUCAUAUAGCAAAUUAGUACUUAUUCUUUGUAUUUUGAUCUGGUCGAUAUGAGCGGUUCCUGGACUUCCUUGAAAAUAUGUUUGAUCAAUGAUAAUUGUAUCUCUAUCUCCUAUCAAUUUUUCAGUUUUCACUGAGUGAGACAUCUCUGCUUUCUUAAGUUUUUGUUCCAGGGUUGCUUUGGACUAACAUAAGCAAUUGGAUGUCAAUCUAUUUACAGGUAUAAGUUUGAGAACAACCGGGUAACAGACAAUUCUUCUUCUGAUGUGAGCUCGCCUUUGAGUUAUCAGUUUAAUGGUAAUGGGAAGAUAGGCACAGAUACUCAUUUCCAGGGAUCUAACAACCAGCUCCUUGAACGGCAGGUUGCUUUCUUUGUCUAGUUUUGCUGGUUUCUUCCUUUUAAUAUGAACAUAUAGAGAAAGCAGAGUUAAAAUUCAAAUUUAGCAAAUGAAUACUUUAGACAGAUAUAUUCGGUUUGUUUUUCUAGUACUGUAUUUGUAUGUGUUGCACUGUAUGGCCAUAUGUUUAGAGUCUGUUUAUCUUACCUUUCACCUGUGCUACGUUUUUCAGAAAGCGCAUGUUCAACAAUUUCUGGCUACUGAAGAUGCACUAAACAAAGCGGCUGAAGCUCGUGAUUUAUGCCAAAAAUUUAUUAACCGUUUGCAUGGAAGUGCUGAUGCAGCUACACAUUCGUUUGCUGGAGGCACAACACAGAAUGGUAGCAAUCUUAGACAAUUUGAGGUAGAUGCCAGAUUCCCUUGGUUUCUUUAGUUUCAACCUUUCACUUGAAUCUAAAAAGACUAAUCAUGUUCCUAUACAAAUCUUACAGUCAAAACAUUCUUAUACUUGUUAUGUAUCCGGGCACUGCAUAACUGAUUCUCAGUUAUCAUGAAAGUUCAUUGUAUGUUUAAUAUACAUGCUGAUAUACUUGCUUGAACAAGCUAUCAAUUUUUCCUUUGCAGUUGGAUGUAUGGGGAAAGGAAAGAGAAGCUGCUGGUUUGAGGGCUAGCUUAAACACAUUGUUAUCUGAAAUACAACGGCUGAAUAAAUUAUGUGCAGAAAGAAAAGAAGCUGAAGAUUCCUUGAAGAAGAAGUGGAAGAAAAUUGAGGAAUUUGAUGCUCGCAGAUCCGAACUUGAAACCAUAUAUUCAACUCUUCUCAAGGCUAACAUGGUAAUAUCCCAACUGAAUCUUUCAUUAAAUUGUGAUAAUUACCAUGAGUAAUACUCUGUAUCAUGACCUUCCUUUUUAUAUAGGAUGCUGUUGCAUUCUGGAAUCAACAACCACUAGCUGCAAGGGAAUAUGCAUCAGCCACUGUAAUUCCAGCUAGUGAAGUUGUUGUGGACAUUUCAAACAGCGCAAAAGAUUUCAUUGAGAAAGAAGUGUCUGCUUUCUUUCAAAGUCCUGAUAACAGUCUUUAUAUGCUUCCAGCAACUCCUCAGGUGUGUAAGUUGUCAUAUGACAUUCUGAUGUAUUUUAUCAAUCCAUUUCUACGUGAUACAAUUGUCUUUCAGUUAAUUUGUAGGAUAUAUUGAACUCAUAAUCGAAGACGGAUAUUUGUUGAAUAAUAUAAAAACAAUAGAAGUUCAUAUAGAAAAGUGUGGUAUAUGUUCAAGGUUCUUUUGGUCUGUAAAUCAAAUAAUCAUGCAGCAAAAGAAAUUUUGGAGUUUAUGGUUCAGGUUAAAAUUUUGUUGCUUUCAUAGGUGUAACAGAACUUGCAAUUAGAAGACCAUUUUCUUUCAACUUUGCAAACUUGCAUGUAAAUGCCUCGAUUCUGUUUAUUUAUAUGAACGUUUUCUUAAUCAGGGACUUCUGGAGUCUAUGGGAGCUAAUGGAUCGACAGGACCUGAAGCUGUUGCAUAUGCAGAGAAGAAUGCUGCUCUAUUAACGGCAAGAGCUGGUGCAAGAGAUCCAUCAGCAAUUCCAUCUAUAUGUCGCAUUUCUGCUGCCCUUCAAUAUCCUGCAGGUAAGAUUUUUUUCUUCUUUUUUAAAAAAUCCAAGGACAUAUAGUUCAUCCCUCUGGAAAAAAUUUAUUUGCAUUGAAUCAUCCAAGUUUCAAGGAGCUUUUUAAUGAAACUAUUGCUCACUGCUUCAUGAAUGACAAUCUUUUUCAAUGCAAUGCAAAAUCAUAAAACAAACAUAAAAAUAAAAAAAAUAAAAAAAAUCUUACCUAUUACGUCGAUUGAGGUAUGCUAUAAUAGCCAAAAGGUUUAAUGAUGGCCACUAGUUGCAUAUUAUGACUACGCUUUGGAUCUGUUGUUGUUUUCAAGCAUAAAAUGGAGCACUUUUAUAUGAUAUACUUAGAAAUCUUCAUAGACCAAAAUUCUUAGUGGCUUCUUAGUACGGCUUGCUUACCAUCUAUAUUCUGCUUCGUAAAUAGGUCUGGAGCGUUCAGAUGCAAGUUUGGCCUCAGUGUUAGAGUCUCUUGAAUUCUGCUUAAGGGUUCGUGGUUCUGAAGCUUGUGUUUUAGAAGACUUAGCAAAGGCAAUCGAUUUGGUCCAUAUACGGCAGGAUCUAGUUGAGAGUGGCCAUUCUCUGUUAGAUCAUGCUUUCCGUGCCCAGCAAAAAUAUGAAAGGUAAAGUGUGUGCCUCCGUACUCUGGUCUACAUGGGCCACCAUUAUCUUAUUUAUUACCCCCACACUAUCUUAUGUUAACUUUCACUGCACUAAUUAUGAAUCUUGUAUGCAGAACAACUAACUACUGCCUAGAUCUAGCUUCUGAACAAGAGAAUACAAUAUCAGACCAAUGGUUGCCUGAACUUAGGACUGCAGUCCAGAAUGCGCAAGCUUCCUCCGAGCAUUGCAAAUACGUCAGGGGUUUGGUAUGGAACUACCUUUAUGUAUAAUUCUUUUUUGUUAUGCUUAAUAUGGUACUGACGGUGACCGUCUUCAUGUGUCUUCACAUGGACGUUCUUAACUCAUAUCACUUCCAAAGUAUGGCGAAUAUGUACCAUAAAAUGAGAAGCAUAAAAGCUGCUUGAUAGUGCUUAGUGCUUAUAUGUUUUUGGGAUUUAGAAAUCCUUUUAUUUGGUCUUCUUUAUGACUAGUUAAGCUUGCCUAUGAAAAGAAUCAGGUUUUCAUUUGACAAUUGCUUACAAAAUUGCAACUAAAGUUUACGGUUCUAGUCCUUUUUCUAUUCUUCACUCUCUUUCCUUAUAGGAAGCUUAAUACAAUUCUUUUUGUUUGUGUUUCAAAUGCAGCUUGAUGAAUGGUGGGAACAACCUGCAGCAACAGUUGUGGAUUGGGUCACUGUAGAUGGUCAAAGUGUUGCAGCUUGGCAAAACCAUGUCAAACAGCUUCUUGCCUUUUACGAUAAAGAAUCAUUGCGAACGUAAAGACCCAUCAUUACCGCUCUCAAUUCUCAUUAUACACAGUGGUGAAUCUUAUCUUCAACAACAAUGUUUGCAAAGUGGGAAAGCUCGACGUGCAAUUUGUAAAGAAAAUGGUAACUCUUCUUCUCUAUUAACAAACCGUUUCUCUUUGUGUUUGUCGAUAUAGUUCCUCAGGUUUCGUUUUCAAAUCAUUGCGGGAAAUUCAUGUGUUUCGCCAUUGUGUUAUUGGGUUUUGUUAAGUAUUUCCGUGUGUUUCUGAUUCUCUUAAUCAGUCUUGUAUCACGAGGUUUGUGUUUCAUACAUUUGUAGCUAAUAUGAAUCAGUUUUCUGCAAUCUUUGUAAGCUUUUUGUUUUUCUAAUUUGACGUCAAACUUUGAAUGUGAAUGUUGAGAAAUAGUUUUUGUGUUACCAACUACUUGUUUGUUGUGUACAAGCAACGACCGUGAGGGUUCUGAGGAAUAGUCUCAAACAUUAAACUCUCGUGAAGAUUAGAUUAUGUUGGACAACCCUUUAUUUCAGGUAAAAUGGAACCACACCGGAAGAAUUAUGUCAGGAAUAUUAGUUGUUACCAAAUCCAAAUUUAAUUAGAAUACUGUUUUCAAGCUAGUAGCAACUAUAGAUAUAAUCAAUUACUAAAUUUUCUUAUUACAUGUGAAAUUCAAAGAUCAAUCAACAUAAACAAAGUGAUAAAUACCAAGCUUUUGUUAUUUUGUUCCUUGUCUUCCAAACACUGAAAACAAUAAUGGCGAAUCACGAGACAGAAAAGAACAAAAAAACUUUUUGAAGAAACAUGUUUAUGUGUCUUAUAAUAUCAGAGACAAAACAACUCUAAAAACAGAGCUCCAAAAUGUCUUCUCUUCUCAUCCUCAUCUUCAUUGCCUCAAUCAUAGCAUUCAGUAAUUACUCUUCAGUUGCUGCUACAACUCUACCUGACACUGUCCAUUGUAACAACAAUAACCACUUUUCAGUCUCAGGUAUCAUCACCAAAAACUGGCUUUAGUAUAUUUUAAAAACUUUUCUCCUUUCUGUUCUGAGAAGUUGUCUUCUUCCGUGUGAAUUUGUGCAGGUGGGCUUGAUUGCAUACAAGAAAAACCAAGUUUUAGACAUGAGACAAAAGGUUAUCACAGAGAAUUUCAGGUUUUGUGUCCUUUCUCUGAGGUGAGAUGUGCAAAGACUCGACGGAUUCUUAAACAUAUUAGGCAAGCAAGAAGAAGAGAUCAUCAACACAAAAAGAGGAGAUCAUCAAGAUUCCUGCAAAACAAAGCAAAUUCAAACAAAAUUCCAUCAGAUAAGAAGUUCUUUUUCCCACAUCCAUGGUUUCUUCCUCCAAACCCGUUUGCGCCACCACAUUCGAUUUUUCCACCAAACCCAUUUGCGCCACCACCUUCGAUUUUCCCACCCAAUCCAUUUAAGCCGCCGCCACCUUCGUUUCUCCCACCAAACCCGUUUCAGCCACCACCUCCUUCAAUAUUUCCUCCAAACCCAUUUCAGCCUCGUCCUCCGCCACCAUCGGUAUUUCCUCCAUUAUUUCCUCAGCCACCUCCCCCUCCAUCAAUAUUUCCUCCAUUAUUUCCUCAGCCACCUCCUGCUUCUCCACCGUCAAUAUUCCCUCCAAACCCAUUUCAGCCUCGUCCUCCUCAGCCACCUCCUGCUCCUCCAUCGAUAUUCCCUCCAAACCCAUUUCAGCCUCGUCCUCCUCAGCCGCCUCCUGCUCCUCCAUCGAUAUUCCCUCCAAACCCAUUUCAGCCUCGUCCUCCUCAGCCACCUCCUACUCCUCCAUCCUUAUUCCCUCCGAUAUUUCCUCAGCCUCCUCCAGCUGCAGCUUCUCCUCCUCCAUCAAUAUUCCCUCCAAACCCAUUUCAACCUCGUCCUCCUCAGCCUCCUCCCACUCCUCCUCCAUCGAUAUUCCCUCCAAACCCAUUUCAGCCUCAUCCUCCUCUUCCCAGUCCUCCUCCACCAUGGUCUCUCUUUCCUCCACUGCCACCGAUCUUUCCAGGCUUACAUCCACCACCGCCACCACCUCCUCCCCCUCCUCCACCUCCAUCGUUUUUUCCAUUUCCUCCAUUCCCAUUCUUACCACCACCACGCAACCCUGGCCCUCCUCCUGCUUCAUCUUCUUCAGCAAACAAGCAGCCUCCUUAAUCGAACAAGAGUAUCAUAUGUAUAUACCAAACAUUUAGUUGAGAGAUGAACUAUAUGUUGUAUAUGACAGUCAUAUUUACAUAAGGUUAAAGAAUAAAGAUGAGUUUUCAACUCCUACAGGAUAUUUAUAUUGCAUCUGUUCUUGAAUCUAUAGAUCUAGAUACUCUAGCUCAAAUCAAGCUUCAGACGCAAGAAAACAAGAACUCCUUUCUAUCAAAUCGAACGCACUACAUGAUACAGACAUGUCAACAAGAGUGUGAGAAAGAGAAGGGCAAUAAGUGACAUUUCUAUUAGACCAUAUACUUGAAAAGUACCAUUACAUGGAGCAAUCUCUUGUUAUGGAUUCGUGAAUCUUGCUACAUCAUUCUACUUAGUCUUUACUAUAUCAUGAGAAUAGUUGCAGCUCGAUAAAAGUAGUGAGUCGCAUUUAUAUACACCAAUCUAAACCUACUGAUACCCUGGAAAAAUGUAACCUGACUUACCAAAAGGAACAAAAUUAUCAAACAGUGGUCAUAAAGAAGAAAAUAAAUAAACAGAUCUUUUAUCUUCUUGUUCUCUUCUGGGAAUGAUCUAUAUCAUUGCAGAAGCUUCUGGUUUCAGUAGGAGAAUCUCCUUCUUCAUCCGCGAUGCCAUUACAAUUAUCCUAAUGAAAAAAGAUACAUAGCAUCAAUAUACAAACUAAAAUACAUAGCAAAAUUUUAUAAGAAUCACUUGCAGAGUAGUGGACCUCUUUUUCUUUUUAUUUCUUUCCACUGUAAAAAUGUUACAGGCAUACCUCAGAAGCAAAAGCAGCAGAAGAAUACUCGCGAUCUGCUCUUUUCCGAAGGCUUAACUGCACAGAUAUCAUGGUCUCUGGCAUGUUAACACCCGAUGACUUAAGUGCUUCAGUUAAAGUGUGUAGUACCCUGUUCAAAAAUCAAACCAAAACCAGUAUGAGCUUCAAUCAAAUAUAUAUCCAUUUGAAAUUUCCUCCAACCCUGAAUCUGUUUAAGUACAAAAGCAGUUACGAUCUUACACAACGGCGUCACCACCUAUUGAGGAAGAGAAGCACUAUUCCACAAAGAGAGGCUUUGAAUUAUGGUUUUGCCAAACUUAUUUCUGUAAGUCCUCCUAAGUUCACAGCAUCUAUGUCAUUUCACUCUGUACACUAACCCACACUUCCUUCCGAAAACAUGAAUUAAAUUACGGAACAAACAAAAGCUUUUUUCAGCUACAUAUUAGUUACCUUUGUGAACAGACGGUGGACAAGCUGGGUGAUAUAGCCUCGUUUGAGUUGAACAAAUCAUCUGUAUUGCAAUUGACUGGUUUUGGUUGCCAAAAGUCAUGCUGAACAAACUGCAGCGAAGGCUCGGUUGGUAGAUACGAUGGAACUGCUGAAACAGGACAGCCUUCAAGAAUCUUGGUAUUAACUGCUGAGUCGAUAUCAGGAUCCGCGUAAUUUUGCAUAUCCGAGAGCAAACCGGAAGUAGCCGCAACGUUAUCAUUACUUGAAAAGCUCUUACCGAUUUUAGGAUGGUCAUUGACCUCCACAACAGACCCAUAAUUAUUUCUCUGCAUCAAAGUUACAUGAAACAGUUGUCAAAAAGACCAAGAAAGAUGAAACAGUUAGCACAAUAAACCAUGUUUCUCUUAAAAAAUAACAAAAACGAUCAAUAUAACAGAAAACCAACCAAGGAUAGAUAGACAAAAUCUCAAGAAAAGGCACAAAGCAAAAAGAUAGGAGAAUGAAUAUACCCAUGGAAUCAAUUUGGUUGGCCCUUGAUCCCACAUUUGGUGAUCAGAUCCUUCAUACAUGUGAACUUUCUCUUGUAAAAAGUGAAUAUACUCUAUAACCUGAUACAACAUAAAAGCAAAACAAAUUUGAUAAAGCAUCUAAAACUAAAAACACAUGUUCUUGACAAAAUUACACAUCUUCUCUUCUACCUCCAAUAAGAAAGAAGCUUUAUCUCGUUUCUGAUCAUUCUGAUUCUGAGGUAUUAUAUCCAUUAAACUCUGAAAUCUGUAUCCACCCACCAAGAUUCACAAAUUAGGAAACUUUCUGGUCAUUAAUCACUAUUACCCAUUUUAUAAAAUCGGAUAAAAAUCAAAACUUUGAACAUUCUUUAUAUUACCUUUCAUUGAUUUUGCUUCUUCUUCGUUGCUCUGUUUCUGAAUGUUUCGAUCUACACGAGCUUCGAUUUCUCCUCCCUGUUGAUGAAUCAUUUCGGGAAGGUAAGUUACUGUAUACGUCGGCUUCUAAUUGCUCAUCGACGUCAGGAGAGUUCAUUGUUCGAUGGAAUCAACACCGGAGAUGGUGUAGUGACUAAACUCCGGCGAGCGAGAGACUGAUUGAUAUGUCUCGAGAGAAGGUUGAAAAAAAAUUAAAAUUAAAUAAAUAAUGUGAAAGACUCAAAAGCCCAUUUCAAACGAAUAAUUUCAGGCCCAACGUUAUCAUUUCAAACGGGUAAAGCCUUUUAAGUAGUAAGUCAGUUGUUACUUGGGGAUUUUAUUUGGAUAUUAAUCAGGAAUUUAUUUUGUAAUUUUAUUAUUACUAGAUAAUUACCCACGCUACGCGUAGGGUUUGUUUUGAAAAUUGUUAAAAAAAAAUUAUAUCGAAUGUUCUUGUUGCUAAUUUAUGUUUUUUUUUGUUUGUUUGUUAUCGUGUAGUUAAUAAAAUUAGAUCCAUCUUAUGUAGUUACAAUUUUUGUGGUUACAGUUAUUUUUGACCCGAAAUAUCAAUUUAUGUAUUUUCAUGUAUAAAUUUGAUUUUUUAUAUAUCUAAGAUCCUAAUAUUUUUCAUUAUCAUGACUACAUACAAUAAUAAUAUAGGAUAUUUUGAUACAGUAAUAUAUAAUUAUGUUACUUGUGUGGUUUGAAACCUGUCUAACUUAAUUAUAAAAAAAAAUUCAUUGAUCUAUUAACUCUCCUGAUCUAGUGCCCCGACCACAUCAUAAUAGGCUUAUGAUUAAAUACUGGAUUGACAUAAUUUGAACAAAAUUUGAAGAGUUUUCAUAUGAAAAAAAAAAUAAAGCAAAAAAUUAAAGAGUCAUUUAUCAUCACUUUUAGAUCUUCUACUAUUGCAUAUAGCCACAUAAAAUAUAUAGUCGUGUCUUGAAUUCCUUAGUAUGUCUAACAUCUCAAAGAUUUAAGGUAAAAUUAUUAAACUAAUAAGAUUGCAUACAACACAUAUUUAUCGUAUAUGAACCAUAAAACGUAAUAAUGAAAAAAGAUUUAAGAUAAAAUUAUUAAACUAAUAAGGUGUUAGGGAGCAAACAACUAAACUACAACACAUAUUUAUUUUUAGUUAUUAGUCACCAUUGAUAAAAAGAAAAAAAAAAUUAGUAAAAUAAGAAGAGUAAAAUGAAGAACUUUAUAAUUUUAUAAUUUUAUAAUAUUAACAUAAUUUUAUAAUUUUCAUAUUUUGAAAAAAUAAGUUAAGAGUAGGAUUUAAGAGGAUUUAAUGCAAUAAAGAACUUUUGUUUUUUUCAUUUAAUUUUGCAAAAAAAUUUUAUUUAAAUAAUGUAAAAUGACACAUGUCAUUUGCUUGUGUGAUGAUGUGGCACUUAUAUGGAGAGAGUUGACCAACUUUCAUAUAUAUGAUUCGAAUAUUAUAUAAUGAAAAUAAACCCAAGAUAUUGCUUGGAAGCCACCGAAAGGGGAAUGGAUGAAGCUGAACACGGAUGGUGGAUCACAUGGUAACCCCGGCUUGGCGACGGCAGGAGGAAUUUUGCGGGAUGGUGCUGGCCGGUGGUGCCGUGGAUUUGCGUUGAAUGUGGGUAUAUGUUCAGCUCCCUUAGCUGAAUUAUGGGGGGUAUAUUAUGGACUAUACACUGUUUGGGAAAGGAACUUCAGGCGGUUGGAGUUAGAGGUUGAUUCAGCAGUGGUGGUUGGUUUUUUGACGUCUGGGAUUAGCGAGUCGCAUCCUCUGUCUUUCCUGGUGCGAUUGUGCCAUUGCUUCUUAUCAAGGAACUGGAUUAUCUGAAUUUCUCAUAUGUAUAGGGAGGUUAACCGUCUUGCCGACGGAUUAACUAACUAUGCGUUUUCAUUACCACUAGGACUUCAUUUUUUAGAGACUAUCCCACUUUCUGUGGUGACGAUUGUAGAAGAUGAUGUUCGAGGAACUGCAUUUCCAAGGCAUGUCCAAAUUUAAUUGUAUUUUUUCAGUUUAUUAAUAAAUUACGGAGAGACAUUGUCUCCCUCUAGCGCCCAAAAAAAAAACACAAAAUAUAAAAUAAAAGGUAUUAUGAAUUCGAAGGAGAUUUUUUUUUAAUGUACAUAGAAAAAUAAUGGGUGAGUUGGCAAACUACCAAUAUCCAAGGUUUGAUGGUGAUUUGCGUUAGCAAGUGGCUUAGAUGAUCGAUUCCGCCACAUUUUUAUUAGGUGUCUAGUGGUUUUAUGUCGUCUUCUUAUAUGACAAGAUUUACCAUUGUAGUCUUGUAGAGAUUAAUGAGUGUCCGCGCUAUAGCUACCGGGCAGGAUAAGAAAAUCCAUGGACGCAUAAAACGCUACAAAGAAAGCACAAUCCUAUUCUUUAAGAUAUGAUGGUUGUCACAUUUCAUUCAUGAUCAUUACUAUAAGAAUACAUUCAUUUCAUCAAUCAAAUAUUACAACUUAGGAAAUUCAACCCUAAGAGUUUAAUUCUUAUUUUUAGGCUAUGAUUUUGAAAUUCAAAAUUGAAAAAAAAAAAAAAAAAAAAAACAUUCUGAGCAUAGAUUUUAAGAUGAAUAUCGUUUAGAAAGUGUGACUCGAAGACCGUGCUUCAUGCGAAGAAUAGGACCAGGAGCUGGUUCAAUCUUUUGGCCUUCAACAACUUGAAUAUCAUAGUUUUGUAAUAUCUCCAUGACCACUGUCUUCAUUUGAGUCAUAGCUAACUUCUUACCCAAGCAAGCUCUUGGACCCGCAUUAAACGAAAAGAUCUUGGUGGAAGGAACUUCUAUCAACCCUCCUGUCAUUGAAACCCAUCUCUCCGGCUUAAAUUCCAAUGCGUCGUCUCCCCAUAUUGCUUUCAUCCUCCCCAACGCGUAAACAAAGAUUAAAAUCUUCAUACUUGGGUCCACUUCAUGCCCACUUGGAAGCUUAUCUUGUUUUACUGGAGACAAACGCUCGAAUGGAACCGGCGGGUAAAGUCUCAUUGCUUCAUACAAGGAACCAUGUAAAUACACUAGUUUGUUCAAGAAAUCUAUAGAAACAUCAUAAGACGGCCUCUCUAGGCCACCAUCACCACCAGUGGUUACUCUUGACAGAUUUAUAUUGAUCUCUUGGCGAAUGUUAGCGACAACUUGAGGGUUUUCGGACAAAAGCCAAAAGAACCAAGUGAGAGCAGAAGCAGUGGUAUCUCUCCAGGGCCGGUCCUAGAAAUUGGGGGGCCAAAGCAAUAAAAUAUUUUUUUAAAGUUAUUAUAAACAGUUAUAAAAUUUGGGGGCCUUUUCAUAAAAAUCAUUUUUUUUGGGGGUCUAUUUGCAUAUAUUUUCUCUUGCUAAAUUUCUAAGAAAAUUUGGCCGGCCCUGUAUCUCUCCCCACUAGAAUGAAAGCUAACAUGGUGUCUCUAAGAAACUUAUCAUCGUUUGGGUUCAAGAGCUCGUACUUGGUUGCAUCUAGCUUCAUGUGGGAUGUCAAAAGGUCAUCCCCUUCAUCAUUAAAAUUGUGAGUAAAAUCUUGUGAUCUUAUCUCUUCUCUCUUAUCUAAUAUAAACUUUGCACACAUUCGAUUUAAAGUGGCGUCAGCUUUGGACAACUUCUUCUCUUGUCCAAAUCCAAUCCUUCUUUGCAACUUCCACAAAAACUUUGGUUUAACAUGCCUAUACAUAAUCGCUUCUCCUACAUCGUUGAGAGCUUUAGCGAACUCAUCCACCUCUGACAUUUCAAUGGAUAAAGAUCUAGGAUCAUCACACCCACUUACUGUCAUUAAUGUUGUGUCGAACAUGAACCUCCCGAACAAGUCCUGCAAGUCCACGACCGUUUCUUCCUCCGCUAUCUUAUUGAAAAAAGGAACAAGCCCAUCAUUGAGUUUUCUUCUCGUGGUACUCAUUGACAACCUUUGAAACCUUUGGUGGUCGACCAUGGCUUUAGAAGCUUUCCUCAGACUCUUCCAUAGCUUCGAAUCCGCGGUGAGUAUCCCGUCUCCAAAAACAUCAAAUACUUCUUUGAAGUCAGGACCUUUGGUGUAAUUUGAAGAGUAUGAGUUCAUUAUUUGACGAAUAUUUUCUUGAUCAACCGUGAACAACAUAUCCAUUCCAAAAUACCACGGGCCCUUGAAUGCAAACGUCAAGUUAGACGCCUCGAGAUUCUCUACGCUAAAGUCAUAGAUCCGAUGGAACUCCAUGAGCAGACCAGGAAGCAUGCCAAGAACUGGCCAGUUUCUAAGAAAGACUUUAUUAUGAGGAUUCUUGAAGAGGUAGAGACAAAGGAUAAAGAUGAUAGAGGAAAAGAUGGCUAUGGAAGCUUCACCUAAGCUUAUUGAGGCCAUUGAAAAUUUGGAGUUUGACUGAAUGAUCAAACUUGUGAUGGUUUCUUUAGUGUAGAAGGAAACUUGAGUUAUAUAUAUAUGAAUGAUUUAUACAGUUUUGGUUAGAUCAUGAAUGUGUCCUCAGUAACCAUGGUUAGUUCAAGUCUAUGACUUGCCCCCAUUCUCUAUGUAUUGUUUUGGGCUUAAUUCUCUUUUCACCCAUAGCCCAUUAAACAUCUUACAAGAGGAUUUUCAACUGAGAUAGAAAUAGGACAUGUCCCUUUUAGGACGGUAAGCCGGUAAGGAAAAGAGUCGGAAAUGGGUUCCGGAUUCUUUAAUUACGCAUUACAUAAGCGGAGAGGAAAUUGAAGAUAAGGUACAUAGUGAUUUAUGGGGGAUGCACGAAGUAGGUGUGCAAUGAAAAGACAACGACCACGGUUUGACUAUAUAUAAAGAAACAAUAAUCAAAUCAAUUUAUAUGAUCACGUUCUUUUUAGGACCAUUUUUAGGUUAGAGAGAGAAGUGAGCUCAGAUUUCGGAUUAACGAUUCAUGUAAUUUUCUCUACUAUACAAACAGUUGAUAUCAAUUUCUAGAUUUUAAAUCAUUCAUUUAUAGGAUUGAAGGUACGUACAUAAAAAGAUAAACAGGUUGUGAUUUGUAGGGAUCCACGAAUUAGGUGUAACCUAUGUUUAAAAAUUUGCUAGGCGCUAAUCGAGUGGCCGACAUGGGUGAUGUGAGUCCCACUUUUAUUGAUUUUUGGAGUUGUUUUAACAGUGAAUCUUGAGUGUUUUCAAUAACAACAAGAUGAUUUCCGGUGAUUUUGUUUACUUUUUGUUGUUUUCAGGUUUAUAUGUCAAGAGAAAAGAGGAAGUUCUAGAGAAGAAAUAUAUAGAUCAUUAAAACGUCAAGUAAAGUGAAGAUUCAAGAUGAACAACCGAUCGACAUAUACUUGUAACUGAUCAAUAGUAAAGACGCCAAGAACCGAUCAGUACAAAUCUGUAUCUCAUCGGUACAAACCUGUAACCGACCGGUGCUCACAUAAAUGAUGUUUCCAUUAUCCGAAUUUAGGAUUUUCCUCUUGUACUAUUUGUUAAAGCAUACAUGACAAGCCCAUGUAUUUUCUAUCUACUAGCCCAUCUAAAACCCAUGUAUUUAGGUUUCUAACAAGUAGACUCAUUAUAUAUAUAUAGUAGAUUCUCUCUCUUAACGCUAUCUUCAUCCUUCAGAGAGAGAAGGUGAUUUCCGGUCUACCGGAAAUUUCUUUUGUGUCUUAUAAAUAGUUUUCCGAUCUAUUCGGAUUUCUCUUUCUUCUUAGUCAGUUUAAUUUCGUCUUAGUUUAUUUCGCUUGUUGACUAAGAUAGAACUAUAUUUCUUUUGUUCUACCCUCUCUUUCUACAGAAAAUUAAUCUCUAUGCCGUUUGCUCUUGAUUGGAUUAGCCAUCAACUUGAUUCUUCUCUCAAGUUAGAGUAAUAUCUUCGCUACUAAAUCUUCGUCGUUUGUGAUCGAAGUGGACCUCAUCUUUAGGUCUUAGGCGGAGCUUCUUCUUGGAGUAUGGAUUGAGUUGUAUAAAUUCCCUAGGUAACUCCAAUUUUAAAGACAGCGGUUAUAACUGUAGAAGGAUGGUUCAAAGAGUAUGAUUUCAAGCUUCCACCUCUAAGUUAACGUCUUCAUCUGGUUUGCCAGCACAAAGAAGCGGUUAUAAGCAAUCAAUUUCUAUCAAGAUCGGCACCGGAGUAAAGAACGGUGGUGAGCAAUCAAUGGUGUUCCAUUGGUUUUCUCGCAACAUCUGACGUGUGGACCCUACUAUGUGUUGUAUCUAACACGUGUCUUAUGUAUUUGGGUUCAUUUGGGCUUAAAAGGCUUGUAUCUACUCUUGUAUCUUGCUCAUUAUGAGCUUUCGUUUAUAAAACGAGUUGCCGACAAAAAAAAAAAUAUAUAUAUAUAGUAGAUUUUACUACACCGCGGGUCAAUUUUUUAACUAAAAAAUUAAAUUUUAAAGUGUAUUUUUUAAUAUUGUUUAUUUUAUUAAGUGUUUAAGAUUGUAUAAUUGUAUUUUGAUUAUUAAUUUUAAGAUUUCAUCCGUGAUAUUAAUACCGUCCCGUAUUAAUAUCGAUCCAAAACCCGUCCCACUAUAUAACCCUCCCGUGAAAUUAAACAUCAUUUUGUUAUUUUUAAUAAUAUUUUAUUUAAUAGACAUAUAAUUCGAGUCAAUUUAAAAGUUUGAUUAUAUAUAUACUAGAUAUGGACCCGUGCGUUGCACGGGUUACCGGUCAAAUUUGUUAUUUUUAAAUUCUAUUUUUGUAAGUUUAACUAAAAUUAUAUAAAAAUAUGUUUUAAUUUUAGUAAAUAUAGUACUUUAAUUAUUUUAAAUAUAUAUUAAUUAUGCAUAAUGUGCAAUAUAAAAUACCAUUUUUAGUUUUGUUUAUUAUAUGUUACAAUAUGAUAUAUAUUAAAUAUUCAUAUGUGUAUUAUUGAAUUUUAAUAAAUUAUCUACAUCCAUCGGAAAAGUGUAUAACACUUUCUAAUUUCAAUGCAGGCAAGAUAGAAACAAAACUGUGACAAUAUGAGGCAGUGUAUAUCCACAUCAUGUAACUUUACUUGAUAAUAUGAUAAAUCCUCAAAACAAAAGACAAAUUCAUAAGGAAAUAGGGAAUGUGCACUAAAUAACCUAAGACUCAAAAAAAAUUCAGAAAAUAAUAUUAACUAAACAAUGUUUAUUUGCUAUAUGGUUUUUGUCAAUUUUUGGCCCAUAUUACUCAUGACUUCUUUGUUGUCUCUUUUUUCUUUCCUCUCGCUAGCGAGAAUUCUCAAAUCUCUCUUUUUCUCUCAUCAGAUUUCUCUUAUUUUUGCUCGAUCUUCUCUUUUUCUUUCUCUCACUCUCGUUGGAUUUCUUCACCAUCAUAUAUUUUUUUCUUUUCCAUAUUACUAUUUCUCUCAUUCGUCGGGCAUCACCACCGAGUCUCACUACUCCGACCCAUCAGACCACCACCACAACUGAAUCUCAACUAUCACAAUCAUCAAUACUAAAUCUGGCUAAUUCCAACCCACCACCUUCAUCAAUAUUUACCGCCACCACCACCAAGCUUGAAGCACUUUCAUCAACACCAACACCACCGUUACCGCAUCUUCCCCUCUUUCCCCAACUACUCUUAUUUCUCCACCUUCUUUAUCUCCUCCGACAUCGAGUCGAGCUUCUCCGACAACAACUCUAUUUUAUGUCCAUCGGCGUUCAUAAUUCUUAAUUUUCUUCCAUCGCCAUAUAUUAUUAAUUUGUCUAUAUAUCUAUUUGUUUAUUUAUAGAGGUGAAUAUUUGGAAUCUUUUUCUUCUACGAUUAAUAGUUAAUUAUAAAAUUUCUUUAAUUAUUAUAUUAUACAAUAAAAUUGUAUAAUUUCAUAAAUCUUUUUUAAUUUUAAGGAAAAAGUAAUCUUUUUCUUUUAGAAUUAGUAGAUUUAAAUUAGAAUUAGUAAAUAAUUUUUUAAUUUCUAUUUUUAUUUAAUAAGAUACAUAUAGUUUCUUUAUAAUUAUCUUUUUUUACUUUUUAAUAAUUGUUUUUUAUAUGAUAUAUAUGUAUAGUUGCCUUAUAAUAUUUUUUCUUAAAUUUCUAUUUUUAUUUCAUAAGAUACAUCUAGUUGAUAAAUUUGACAUGUGCGUAUAGUUUCCUUAUAUAUAUUUUUAAUAAAUAAAAGAAAAUUUUUGUUUAACACGUGUCAAAAUCUGAGAUCGAUAAAUUUGACACGUGGCAUGAUCCUAUGAGUUAUUAACUUUGAAAACCAUACUUUAUAUAAUAAGAUAUAUAUAUAUAUUUUUUAAUUUUAGUUAGUAAUAAUUAAUUCUAUAUAAUGAUUUUUGAAUUAAUUGUGUAUGACCGACGGUCAAGAUUGAAGAUUAAAAACCGGAUUAAGAUUUGAAUGGCCACGAUUAAAUGUAGGGAUUUUUGAGAUCUUUUAAGAAAAUCGAAUUGAAUAUGGAUGUAAUUGUGGCAAGGAUUAGUUAUGCUUAAUAUAUUAGAUUAAAAUUUGGAAAUGAUUUUUUAUGUUAGUAUCUUUGAUUUAAUUUUGAAAAUCUAAAUAAUUAAUAUCAAUGACAUUUGAUCGUAAAUAAGUUAGAACUCCAAGAUUUAUUUCAUAAAUGUCUCCAAAAAUGUAUAUAUCAAUGAGUAUAAUGAACAUCAAUUUGGGUAUCUAGGGUUGUCGGAAGUGCAACCUCUAUAUCACUCUUAAUUUCACCUUAUAAGAAAACAAUUUGAGUGUUCUUGGUGAUUGUAAAUAGUUUUCGUUUUUGCUUUUCUGUCUUUUAAAUAAAGCUCAUUUGAGCUAAAAUCACUUGUCUUGAAAUCUCUUCACUAUUAAUUGGUGUCUCGACUUUCAGAGAUAUCAGAGACGUUCUAUUGCGAUAUUGCUUAGUUUUAAAAGGUUUAAGGAUAAGAAUUUACUCUCAUACUUUUGUAGAGAAGAAUUCUAAACCCUUUUAUCUUUAUUUGCAAUUUUAAUAUGAAUUUCGUAUCAAUCUCUUGUUAUGUUUCUCUGUCCAUGUGUGAAUAGUUCUUUUAUUAGGUUAUUUGGUUUUCUAAGGGAAAUUUAUGGAAGAUUUAUGUUACGUUGAUUUGGGAAUUGAUCAUAUAAUUCUUCAUCUAGGUAUGCUAUUCAUGAUUAAUCUAUUUUGGCCAUUUAGAUUCUGCCCUAAGUUGAUUUCAUCGUGACACCAAAAGUGUUGGUUAAAUCAAUCAAUUUAGUCUAGAUGGGCUAAGUGUCCUUAGCCAAGAACAAUUGUUGUUAUUGCACUUUGUGAACAUAUCGAAUUUGGAUCAUAAUGCUUACUUGAAUUUCUAUUGUCAAACGACAAUUUAAUUUCUAGAAAUUGUCGAUAUUUAAUUUAUAGAUAGUUAUUUCAUAGGAAAGUAAGAUACCUUUACAUUUGGAAUUUGAGUUUGAGAACAAUACUUAAUGCAUUCCCAUUUUUUGUCUUGCAUUUAUUCCCUGAACCCCAAAAGAUUUCCUUUAGCCCAAUGUUUCUUAUAAUUGAUUUUACAACUUUGUUUAAUUUUUUAUUGAGUUACAAAGCAAAACUCCUUUUCAUCUCAGCUUAAUUUAAAUUAUCAUAGUUUAUCUAUGUUGAUCCUUGCGGAUAUGUGCUUAUAGUAGGAUAUUUAGGACUAAAAUUUGAUUACAACAAUGGACGAUUAAUCGGGAACUAGUUUUAAACAUUAUUUUAGUAAAUUUAAUAUUAAUUAGAACAUAUAUAUGAUGUCAAAUUUACAUUAUUGCAUGCAAAUCUUUUUUUGUACAACCUUAGAUAUAUAUUAUUUUGAUAUAAAUUUCAAUUAAAAUUAUCUAUAUUAAUGGCACAUCCCACAACGGUUGUCGGCAAUUUUGUAGUUUAUUUGCGUCUAAUUAUAUGAAUCGGCUAUAAAAUUGCAAACGAUUAUUUUCCAAAAGAAGUAAACUAUAAUCGUUGCGGAUGAGUCCCAAUGAGAAGGUAGCCAUCCAUUUAAUCGGCUAGGCGCUCGAGAUUUUGAACAAAAUGUCUGAAUAGGAAAAGACAACGAACAUGGUCGAUUAUAUAAAUAAAAUAAUCAUAUGCAAUUAAAAUAAAAUAAAAACUUCAACUUUUUUAUUUCUUUGAAAAAAACUUCAAUUUUGUCUUCAAUGACAUAUAUAUAUCCACUUUUGUUGACUUCUCUAUUUAAUCGCAAACUUUUGUGACGAAUUAAUUAACGGUUCCAUGAAAUAACUUAACAGUGUAACUAAUUUGACUCAAUAAACAGAAGUUAGUGAUUAAAAUGUAAAAGUCAAUGAAAGUGGGGAUAUUUUUAACAGUCAAAUGGUUGGUGUUUUUCAAAUAUUUUGAAAGUUGGAGAUUUUUUUUAACAUUUUCCAAUCUUUUUCAUUGAAUUAAAAGUUAUUGUAUCAUGUUUUAUCUUUAUCUUGAGUAUCUUUAAAGCUAAGAUAGUAUUUCAAUAUUUUUGCUUUCUUUUCUACUUAUUUUUGGUUUUAAGACAGGUUAAAUAAAAAAAAAUAGUUUCUAACCGAUUUUGGACACUUUGAGUGCAAAAGAUGAUAAGACAAACACUUGAUUUUCUUUGCAGGAUUGAUAGAAGCAAAAAAAGACAAAGAGCGAUCGAUAGCCACUAGAGACUGAUCAGUACCUCCUACGAAUCAAGAUUUCCUUAUUAGGAUUUUCUCUGUUAUUUAAACUAUGUCUCGAUUUUCAAAUAUCUCACCUUAUUUUCUACCAGUUUUAUUGCUAUAGUAAGUUUGGUCAGAUGAAUUUUAAUUUUGUCUCCCAUAUCUUUUAUGCUUUGAUAACUACCAUUGAUGCUUCCUCUUACUUUCAAUCAAUAAGCAACUUCAACAGUGUUUAUCAAAUGGUGUCUCAACGCCAAGUGUCUAACAAGUCCAACUUCAAGUCCAACCUCAAGUCACUUAAGAGGUACACAUUACAUCCCCAUGUAAUGUUUGCCCUUUCAUAGGUUUGGGUUUUGUAAUUUUCUAUACAUCCAUUUGUCUUGUCUCUUAACUAUUGUUUUGUUUCAUUUUCAGAUUCUUACCAUCUCUGAUUUUGAAAUUUAUUUAUUUAAUUAUGGUUUUUCAUCAAUUGUUUUCAGGUUAAAUUGGGUUUAGGAUUUUUAUGU